Molecule: long non-coding RNA, 76656 nt
Filed under: Triticum aestivum (bread wheat)
Lineage: Eukaryota; Viridiplantae; Streptophyta; Magnoliopsida; Poales; Poaceae
Description: long non-coding RNA (TAES_LNC021572)
Source: RNAcentral
GAAGCUUUUGCUUGAACCAACGCAUGAAACAUGAGUUGUGCUCUUUGAGUAUAUCUCCGUCCGUCCUCUGUUGGCCUCAGUCAUUGUACGUCUUCUUAAUAAAGGUUUUGUGCUCUACCACCCAAGGAUCGACCACGUCUAUGUGUUGUAGCGCGACUAGGUUUGCUCUUUCAAAGUCGGCGAGUCGACCCUCGAAGUCGACAUGCAUUUCGCGACGACCCUCACGGUGACCCCAUCCAGCGAGCCUGCCGAGGUGCCUGUUGAUGGGCAGACCAACGGGGUUCUCGAUGCCUAGAUAAUUCGUGCAGUAGGAGAUGCACUCUUCAGUCAGAAAGCCCCUGGCUAUGCUUCCCUCUGGACGUGACAUGUUGCGAACGUAUCCUUUGAUGACACCAUUCAUCCUUUCGAACGGCAUCAUGCUAUGCAGGAACGUCGGCCCGAGUUGGAUGAUAUCGUCCAUGAUAUGGACCAGCAAAUGCACCAUAACGUCGAAGAAUGCGGGCGAGAAAUACAUCUCAAGCUCGCAUAGUAUCACCACGAUCUCUUCCUGUAGCCUUCUGAGUUGCCUCACGCCAACAGACUUCCGAGAGAUGACGUCGAAAAAGUUGCAUAGGCCAAAUAGGGUUUCACGGACGUGCGCGUCCAUGAUCCCACGGAUUGCAACUGGAAGUAUCUGCGUCAUCAGCACAUGACAGUCGUGAGACUUCAUCCCACAGAACUUCUGCUUCGCUGGGUCUAGGUAUCUGCUUAUCUUCCCCGCGUAACCGUAAGGAAGUUUUACUCCUACGAGGCAGGUGAAAAACUGCUCGAUCUCCUCCUAACUUAGAGUGAAGCACGCGGGAGGGUAGUCAUUUCCGGUCUUCUUGGCCUUUUUGCCUUUGCGACGACUUUCCGUGUCCUGCUUCGCCUCAUCAUCAUCAUCAUCAUCAUCAUCAUCAUCAUCAUCAUCAUCAUCAUCAUCAUCAUCAUCAUCAUCAUCAUAUAUAGCGUGAAGCUCCUGCCUGAUGCCCAUUGAUUUCAAGUCUGCCCUUGCUUUUGGACCAUCUUUGGCCCUCUCUGGCAUGUUGACCAGGGUACCAAGCAGACUCUCGCACACGUUCUUCGUGAUAUGCAUGACAUCAAGGCUGUGAGGCACACGGUGGAUCUUCCAGUACGGCAAGUCCCAGAAAACAGACCUUGUUUUCCAUACCUUCACCAGCGGCUCUGGCGCCUUUCGCUUCUUUCCCGGCUCUGGCGCCUUUUGCUUCUUUCCCGGCAGUGGGCAGUCUUUCCAAUUUUUCAACAGCUCGUCUAUUUCCUCACCGCUCCUCGUACGCGGGCGUCCUCGGGGUUCGGUUUCACCAUCGAAUAGAUCCUUGCGUUUUCUCCACGGGUCAUCGUCGUGAAGCCACCUUCGAUGUCCCAUGAACACGGUUUUCGAAGACCCGGGAUCUCUAUCUAGCUGGCGAUAUGUUGUGUCAUCCAUGCACCUGACGCAUCCAGAAAAUCCAUGGACCACCUGCCCCGUGACAUAUCCGUAACCGAGAUAGUCGUGCACCGUCGUGAGCAGCGCGGCUCUCAUAGGGAAAUAUUCUUUCUCUGCGGCGUCCCACGUAUUGGCUGGCGUUUUCCACAGCGUGUCAAGCUCCUCUUUCAGCAGCCCCAGAUACAGAUUGAUGUCGUUCCCUGGUUGUUUCGGUCCUUCAAUUAGCGUACUCAUGUGAAUGUACUUCCUCUUCAUGCACAACCAGGGGGGAAGGUUGUACAUCCACACAAACACAGGCCAGGUGCUAUGUGUGCUUCUCUGGCUGCCAAACGGAUUGACUCCAUCGGUGCUCGCGCCUAGCACGAUGUUCCUUGGAUCGUUCCCAAAUUCUAGGUCUUCGAAGUUCAACGCUUGCCACUGGCUCGCAUCCUUAGGGUGACUCAGCAUCUUGUCUUUUUUAUCUAUCUCCGGAUCAUUUGCGUCAUCUUCUCGCUUCUUCUCCUCCCUAUCCGCGUGCCAACGUAGGAGCUUUGCUACCUUAGGGUCCGCGAAAUACCGCUGCAGACGAGGAGUGAUCGGAAAGUACCACACCACUUUUCGAGGAGCUUUCUUCCUCUUCUUGUAUCGAGUGACGCCGCACACCAGACAUAUGGUAGACUCCGCGUGCUCGUCCUGAUAAAUGAUGCAAUUGUUCAUGCACACAUGGUAUUUCACGUGCGGUAAAUCCAGAGGACACACGAUUUUCUUCGCCUCCUCCAAACUGGUCGGGCACUUGUUCCCCUUGGGAAGACGUUCGUGCCAGAAUGACAUGUUCUCGUCGAAGCAUGCGUUGGUCAUUUUGUGUUUUACCUGCAUCUCCAGAGCCAUGAGCGUUACUUUCAGGCGGGUAUCCUCGGGCCUGCAUCCUUCAUACAAUGGAGUAACCGCGUCUAACUCAACUUGAUCCAUCUUGGCUUUCUCUCAGGCGGCAGCUCUUGCGUUAUCCGUCUGCUUGAGAAGCAGCUCUUGAAUAUGAGGGUCCUGCACCCAGCCCAUCGAUGGUCCAGCGUCGUCUGCUCCGCCGGCAUCAUCAUCUUCAUGAUCAUGCCCGUCGUCUGCUCUGGCAUCUUCCUCAUCAUCAUGUCCUGCAUCUUCUACAUGAUGACUGUGUACAGCAUCACCGUCGUGAUCAUCUCCUGGGGAUUCUUCGUCUUCUCGCCCGCCCGAGCCGCGGUGGUUGUCUUGCUGCCCUUCCUCAUUUCUUGCCCGGCCCCCAUGGACGACUUCGUAGUCAUCUUCAUCACCUUGCCACCGAUAGCCAUCCAUGAAACCACGCAAGAGCAGGUGGUCCCGCACCUACCCGGAUUCCGGGUCCGCAAUAAGGCUCUUCAGCUUGCAUCUUCGACACGGACAUCUUAUCUCCGUCUCGUUCUUUUGAAGCAUCUCGGCCUUCACGGACCUCAAAAACCUAUUCACGAUGCCUUCGGUCAUCAUGCGGACCAUGGUCACCUGCGGGGUAGAGCAAAACGAUAUUUUAGAACCAAGAAAAAAUUUGGCAUGACUUUCCCUAAAAAUAGGACCAAAAAGAAUGCUUAAUGCCAAAAUUCUCGCCGAAACGGAAAUGAAUCAACAUUUCGGCAAAAUAUUGGCAACUAUCGCAUUUCAAAUACCGGUACACCUCCAAACACAAACACAUAUGCAACAUCACAAACAUAUGCAACACCACGAGCAUACAUAGAUCUAGCUAGGCCAUAAAAAGUGCAUGUGCACAUUGUUGUAGGGAGAACAACAUAAAUAUAGCUUCCCCCUUACUUACCUAUCAAAACAAGGUAAUUUAACCACUUAAAUUGAAUGAAUCUAUGGUGGAAAUGAGGUGAAAAAGAGGAGGCACCCGAGACAAGGAGGAGGUGGAGAGAAUGAAGUGGGGAGAAAGUGAGUGUGGGUAGGAGAGGCUGUCCAAAAUAUCUUGUUGCUGCCCACUUACUAAUGGCGCACCAACUCUAAAUGCGCCAUUAGUAAUCCAGGUUACUAGUGGUGCACCUUCUGGUGGUGCGCCAUUAGUAGUUUUGCAAAAAAAACAUACUAAUGGCGCACUGUCCCACAGUGCGCCACUAGUAAUGGCGCACGGUGGAACAGUGCGCCAUUAGUAGUUUUGCAAAAAAGGAAAUAAAAAAUAUAAUAGAAAAAACAACAUUAGUGGCGCACUUUCCGGCAGGUGCGCCAUUACUAGUUACAACUAGUAAUGGUGUACUGUGUCUGGAUGCGCCAUUAGUAUGUUUGGAUAGGCGCACUAGUUAAUUUUUUUUUGAUACUAAUGGCGCACCCUGUGCCAGGUGCGCCAUUAGUAGUUUCAACUCUAAUAGCGUAUCAGAAGGUGGUGCGCCAUUAGUAUAUACUAAUGGCGCACCGCUUGUCUGGUGCGCCAUUAGUGUCAAUCCCAUCUAUAGCCCUUUUUCUAGUAGUGUAACAACGUAAUCCUCGGCAAUGACAUGUUUCAAAGAGUAUUUAAGUAAAUAAACCUCCUUAUCUGGAAUAGAAUGGUUGUUUGAUGCUUGCAAAACUGCACUAUUUUGAACCGCUAGGCUUGUUUUGUAAAUUAUUGGGUCGUUUUUUAACUAGUCGGAGUCCAUCAGCCGAAGGAGCAAGCAUUCUCUAUAGAUAGCAUAACAAACUAUUAGUUGAGACCAUAAUUUUUGAGUGAAAUUUGAGGAAUUUUUUUGUGUACUUCGACAAGAUACAUACUUUUACGAUCGAGUUAUGUCCAUCAACCAAAGGUUCAAGCCCAAUUGUAGCCAUUGGAUCCGAAAUUUCCUAUCAUAGAAAUACAGAAAGGUUUGUUCAAAAAAUAGAUGAAGGUACUAAACUUACCAUCUUCAUUUUCAUCUGCAUUAGCAUCAUCACAAUCUGUGAAGCCGUCUUCAUCAUUAGUAAUUUCUAGUAAUCUUACAGUGAAUUUUUUAUAUUAUUUACAGUGUCACAAUAAAUGUAACUGUACUGCAGCUACAGUAAUUCUGAAGUUCAGUCCUAAAUGGUUUAUUUUUCCUAGUGUUUUCAGCUGAAUUUUGUUUGCUGCUCCCAGUAGGUACUAAACUAGGUAUGCGUGCAGUGUAUUCUACCACAAAGCCUUUUGUAAUUGUAAACCCUAGCAUGCGAGCUUGUUUGCUGCACCGAGGUUUUUACUAAAUGCAUCUACUAUAUGAUUUUUCAGUGUGAAAGAAAUGUAAUUGUACUGCAAAGUUGUAAUAUAUUUUGAGCCUAGAACCAUUAGGCUCGUAGUUGUUCUGUUGCUCCCUAAAGUAAUGUUGUUUUGUUUACCGUGCAUCUAUUGUAUAUUUUACAAUGUAGCAAGGACUACUCUCCUACAUAGUUAUAGAAAACUUGAAUCAUAGCAUCCAAGUGUGUUUUGCUGCUCCGAGUCUGAUACUAAAGUAUUGUUUAUAACAAUGCCAAUUUGAUUCAUUUUUACAGUGUGCUUUUACUAAGAUUCGCUGUUAUUUGGUCACAGCAAUUGGUGGUGGUUUCAAGUUUACAAUGACAUUGAUCUAAUCAGAUAUAUGUUUCAUGUUUCUUGUUUUUUGUUUGUCAUCAGACUGUGAAGCAACUCAAUGGGGAAAGAACAGCGGGGCUGGUAGAAAAAACUGACAUGGACAUACAGAUGACAAGUACAAAGAGGGACAAAUUGUUAGGCUCCAAUUGGCCAAAAUAUCUGACUGAAAUGGUUUUCAGUCGACUGACGAAACUUUUGCAACGAGUGAACAAAAUAUAUGAGUCAAUUUCAGAUUAAACUAGAAUCGUGAUCUCUCUGUAUAUCGAUUGGUGGUUGAAAAAAACAGCUUAGAACCAAUAUGUAGGGCAUGAAUUGCAGCAAUGAGAUGGGAUAAGGAGCAGGGCACUUACUAGAUGAAUUUGCAGGAUUGUUGCCACCACGUACCAGUCGGAUUUGGAGAAUCUAUAUCAGCUGGGUUUUCCUGACAAGAGAGAUGUGAAUUGAUUUAGAGCAUAGAUCGGUAGAGCAGGGAGGAAGAGAGGAUGAAUUGGGGGAGGGUCGGCAACUAACCUUGCUCAGGUCGUGGAGAUGCCUCCGCCACCGGCCGCCGGGCGUGCGGAUGAAUCCAGUACGAGACGACGAAGGGGACCGUUCUGAUUUGGGGGGAGGUUUCCGAUUUUAUUUGCGCAGUUAGCUCAUCACGAUCUGUUUGACCGAUGUUUAGUCUCUGUUCUGAAUUCCAAUGACAGGUGGGGCCAUGGUAAUGAAGCGCACGUACUUGGUCAGAUUAGUCGCUGUUGGCGGGAGAGAACGGAGGGAAAAGGAAAAAAUUGGAGCGAAACCAAAAAAGAAAUAGAAGUGAGUCGAGCGAAACAAAUUAUGAAUUUUGUUAUUAAUCAUCUGGCCCGUGAUAGGCACUUGUACAUAUAUUUGUGCUAAACAGAACGUGCUUCUUCUAUGUUUGUAGAAAUUCAGUGCUUCUUCUAUGUUUGAAAAAAUUCAGUGCAAUAUGGGUGAAGCAAAAAUGAAUUCUGUUGCUCAAACAAUAGAAAAAAUUCAUCCAAAACACAAAAAAAACUCUUAGCUUACAUGUUCGGACCUACAUGUAUAAGUAUAAUUGUCAUCCAGGAUCACUAGUUUUCAUGGACGUAGUAUUAAUUUAGAGUUUCAUGACAUACAGUGCAACCACGGCGUCCCGAUCGGGCGCCGCAUGAAGGUGGAGCCCCUCGCCACCACACAACCAUUACACCGGAUUGACGGGAUGGCGUCGCCGUAACGUCGCAACUAGUGCGACAAGUCCGUCAAGGAAGACGUGCCACAUGCAACCGCGAAGGCGCACUUCCAUCGCCUCCACUACCUCGGAAGCCGUGAUGGUGCCGACUCCUCGUCGCGGGCCAUCAGGUCCACCGAGGAGAGGGCAGUGAGAUAGGCGACACAUCAGGCGUGGUGCAACGCAGCGCGCCACUCCGCAUUCGCCAAGUUCGACGAGGCACCGGCCUGGGUCCUCGGGGACCCUGACCUAGUGGAGGCCUGGACCCAUGACCGGUCCGUCACCACAACGAGAAUGGUCGCACAGUGACGCACGACACCUCAAUGGGAGGCUCAUCAGGAUCGACAAGGUGGGGACGCUAAGAGGCACCUCCAUUGCUGCAGGCAGGGGCAAGGCUGCUGCCAGGGCACCGUUGCCGAGGUAGGCAUUGGCCGCAAAGGCCCUCCGCACGGCACAGGAGGAAGCGGAACAGUUCCUCCACGAGCUCCAGGUGGCACCCAAUCAGGGCUGUCGUGCCUUGGUGCCCUUCCUUCACUGGAAGGACGACUCGUGCUACGACGACAACAUGGAUGACAACGAUGACAUUGCGUCCGGCUAGGGCGGCUAGGUAUACAAGGUCACCGUCCGCUACAAGUUAGCCAUGUUUCUUUAGGUUUUAGUUCAACGGAUGAAAUAUCGUCUGUUUUGUGUAAAUUAUGUACAAACUUUAUAAAUUCCCUCGUGUUUGGUGAAAUUCGUCUGGUUGAUUCUAAAUUGUUUUGAAAUGGAUGCGAGCAUGGUUGUAUGGCCGGCUACCGCAUCACUGUCUACGGACCAGUUCGAACCAGUCCACGGACAAACGGUGUGUCCGUUUUUGCGUCAGCCCCAACACGGACCCACAAAAUGUCUGCAAACAUCCGGAUCUACGUUCCUGAUGCAGUUUGCCUUCCAACAUGGUACCCCAUCAGUCCAUGGACCGGUCUAGUUUUUCCGAAAUCCCGCAAACUGGCUGCAAACCAGGGACCACCAAAAACAUCUCCCACGCAAGUGCCUCUCCCACGCGAACGCUCCUUUGCUCUUUGUGCCAAAUUGAUGCCGACCAGAGCGGACGCGAGCUGUCACUAGAGCCGGCAGUGAAGCGGCAGGUCAGCCGAGAGCAACGCCCGCGCCGCGUUCGAGUCUCCAUGCCUGUUACAUGCUGGAGAGAUAUGACUUGACGCGAUGGCUUGGGUCAUUUACAAGUCGAACACCACGAUAGAGACGAGAAAGCGUUGUCUCUGCCUUCUUGACGAGGAGAUGCUGAAGUACCGCAAAUAGUGGUCUCUAAGCGAGACAACGACGCUGCCACCUCCGGUAUGUCCCCUCGCUCAUCUGUCCCCUCGCCCAUCCGCAGUGUCCUUGGCCGCACUGUGCGCGGCGCAGGAGCAAGCGAACAAGAUCAUCCGUGAGUCCGCGGCCGCAUUGCGCGUGGCGCAGGAGCAAGCGAACAAGAUCAUCCAUGAGCGCUAGACGGCAGUCGGGAAGCACUGCCGUGACCCCGCGCCCUUCCGCGGUUGGAAGCCGACAACGGUGAUGGAGGUGUCGUCGGCCAGCCGGCCAGGCGUACUAGUUCACCGUCAAGUACAGGGUAGGAUUGGUUUUUUUCAAGUUUUAAUUCACGAGAGAAAAUACCGUCCGGUUUUAUGUUAAAAAUAUGUAAGUUUGAACGUAAAUCGUCCAAUCUAUUUAAAUUAGCAUCAAAUUUGUUUUCUUUUUUUUAAAUCACGUGUGCAAAACAAACAGCUAUCUGAAGAAAAGCUAGAGUUAACUGAAGAAACGCUACAGCUAACUGAAGGAAAGAUACAGCUACAUUAUUCUAGUGCAAAGAGAUUAACACUAACACUCUACCGCUAUUCCCCUCCAAGUUAGAGAUGCCCUCAUGAUAUAUUGGCAAAAGACAACCAGCAUCAAUGUAUUGAUCAAGUUCGUGGAACAAGCCUAUGUAACACUUCGAUGUUUAAGAUAUAACCAACAACCCGGAUGUAGGUACAUAUGAACAUGUGUAAGAAUGUGUAGGAAACAGAACAACCAACAUCAACAUAUUUAGGAUCAAGUAUUGACACUUUAGGCCAGUCACACUUACAAAUCUUGUUGUCCGAAUUAUAAAGUACAUGGACAUAAAAGAAAAAAUAGAAAAUAACAGUAAUGAAUUCGUCACUUCAACUAGGCUCCACAUUUUCAGAUCGGUGACUUUCAUUAUCCAUCGAACCUGCAUGCAGAAGCAAUAGAGUAGUAAGUUUCAUGACCAAAAUGACAUAAGUUGUAGCAACAAUACUAAAAAUAUAAAUAACAGAAUCACAAUGGAAGCUGUCCUUUAUCGAGGUACUGUGUCAUCAAUUGGCACUAUAGGAGCAUCUACAGUUUCUCCCUCUAUAUGUCUUCUCAUCCAAUUUUGUUUAUGAUGGGCAGUAUCAAAAAGCUCGAAGAAUUUGCUGACAUGAUAAGGUUCUGUUUCCACAUCAUUCCAUUCUUCACCAUCAAAAUUAUCUCAAGGUUUCAUCUUCAAAACAAUUGACCAUCCUGGAUAUGGUCAUCCACGUAGAACACUUGUCAACUUGAUUGACAAAUGCAAAAGGUUCAUCCAGUCGUGUAGCUCCUUGGUGUAGCUAGCUAAGUUAGGUUCGGUUGCUUAAGGUGUCAAAACUAUGGUAAAAUGGUACGAGCCAAAUAUAUCGGCGGUUUCACUAAAACUGAGAAAAUUUCUGUUUUUAGAAACUGUAGUAUUCAUUGCCAACGCAUAAUAAUACCGAAGUUUUGGUAUGGGGCGGUAUUUUGAAAACUUCUGCAUAUAAGUUUUGGUAUGGGGCGGUAUUUUGAAAACUUCUGCGUAUAAUUUCGUCCAAAGCUUGCAGAUUCAGAGAUCUGGGGACGCGGGGAUGAGGUACCUCUCUGAGCUGAGCAGGGGACGAGGAUUGGGGAGGACCGGAGGAUCAACGGCUGAGGAAGCGACCACGGAGCGCACUGGAAGUGGGCGGCUCCGGUAGUCCGGUCAGCAGGGCGCGGUGGUGCGCCCAGCUGCGUGCCUGCGCGGACAGCAGCCGGCCGGGCGCCAACCGAGGCAGGAAGCAGCAGGUUGCGGGUAUCAGCCUUCAUGCCGGUCAGGGUCACAGGGCGGUCUAUCGAUGGCUCCGGGCGGCCGGGCAAGGACGGCGAGGCAGGUGGUAGAUCAAGUAUUCCCGGGACUGGAGAAGCAGGGUCGACUGACUGUGUGUGGCUGCUUUCGCUUUGGCACGACACGAGGAGCAGGGUAGGCUGUUACUGGGCUUAUAUUUUUCUCCAAGCCCAUCUCUUAUAUUACCUAUGUGUGGUAUACAGGCUGGGCCAAAAUUCCAGGGUGGAGCGUGGCUCGUCCUGUGCCUCCUCCUAUGAUCUGGAUCGGAGAAUAAAAGGAAGGGACUACGCAAAAAAUUGAUUUUCGCCCGAACGGAUUUUCGCGCCACACUCCUUGUGUGUAGCAGAUAUAUUGGCAACACAUACAUGACAACAUAUAAAAUCUGUUGCAAUCUAUGUAGGGCACUAUGAUAACGAACAAGUCGACAAUGCAUAUGCUGCAAUGCUUAUAUGCGUAUCUCUUGUAAAUUUUGCAACUUAUAGUCAAAACGUUGUAGAAUAUGUGUUGCUUUAUAGGGGUAUCCUUGUAGUGAUAUCUGGGAAAGCUUGCCACACUUUAUUUAUGUCCAUACGCUAAUGCAACACCAUUCGAAUACUACAAAUAUACACUAAUCUAGUGGCUAGUGCAAUAGUAAAGUAGUUAUUUUAUUACAGGGUACAGUACAAUAGUUUUACUGAACAGAUUUCAAUAAACUCUAGCACUGGAAGAUUUCUAUAAGAAUUAACAAUAUAAAAUGUAAAGGUAACAAGUUUCAGCAUUGGUAUACUAGCUGUGCAUGGGCAUUAAACCAAAUACAAAAGUCUGAAGGUAACUAGCAUUAUUAACUAAUGACAGUAUAAAAAAUUCCAAACCAUGUACCUUCAAGGUAAAUAUCAUUUCGAACUCGAGGGGACCUAAAUAUUCCUAUCCCAAUCUUGAUAAUAGGUCAAACAUGAAAACUUGAUCGAACGAAUCAAGAGAACAACCGGAGGAGGAGGUACCCACUCUUGACCUUUCCUCUUGACACUGUAAAAAAAAUUGACUCAUCUCAUGAAAAUAAGGUAUGUAAGCUAUAAGCAUUAACAGUGCAAAAAUCUGAAGGUAGUAACAAGAUUCAUCGUUGGUAUACUGGUUGUGCAACAACAUUAGAAUGCCUUAGCUGAAAAAUCUUUAAUUCAUCCACAAUCAACAGCUAACCCUGAAAUAAUCCAGUGACAUUAAAUGACAUUGCUUAAAUUUAUCGGUGGCAUUAGACUGAGUGCGUCAUUAGUUAAAUGUCACAUCACUUUAGCAGUAGCAUUGCUUGACUUGACUGUUGGCGUUAUACAAACAGCAAAAAAGUGACAAUAAGAGCAUGGGAGGCCCAUUCCGACAGUGGGCACACCAGUACAAUGUACCUCCACGGACGCAUAGAGUGGUGAGGGAGGUAUGGUUGCCCAGAGCAAACAAAUAUCCAGGCAGCAUAUGUGGAUUACGUCCCAUUUUUGUUCUAUUUAGCCACCUUUUUCCUAUGUGAGGACAACAAACUGAUCGACCUUGUCAUUCUCUAUUGUGUUGUCAUGCCUUUCUACCCUUCUUCAACCAAGAGACACGAGACUCGUUCCUUAGCUACUGAUUUUCCCCUUUUCAACCUAGAUGCGGGUUCGAUGCCUACAGUCUCCCUUCCUUUCCUUAUUCAACCCAGACAUGGAUUAGUAUGCAUGAAGUAGGGUUUCCUUUAAUAGUGCAAAUUAAGGUUUUCGUCUGUGUGACCAGCAGAGCAGAGGAUAGCAAAUUGGGAAGAUGGUGGAGUGAAAAAAGACCCACAUGCAGCGACGUGACAGAUGGGGCAAUAGAGUAAGGGUAUGGUUCCAAAGGAGGUAGCAUACCUGAGGGUCGGCGAGAAGUGGCUUCGCUCGUGGUCAUCGUCCUCCGCACACACUACGGCAGCGAGCUUGGGGACGGAGGCCAUUCCGUGCGGACGCUAGGUCUGAGAGGACGGCCUUGUCGUUAAUGCGUGACCUCGCUCGCCGAUGACGAGUGCGUCAACGCUGCACGUCCUUUUCUUCCCCGGCGGAUCUGUGACCACCGGUGAGGAGGGAGAGGGAGGCCAUCUUUUUUAGAUCUGGAGAGAGGGUGAUAGUGUGAGAAGCAACUAGGCAACCCUUAGCAAGAAAGCGCUGAAGCUCCAACCUAUAUAUCUUUUUUAUACUACUAGUACUAGAGGUGGAGUAGUGGUAGAGUAGUUUAUAUUUUCUUUGCAUACAGUACCAGUUAGUCGUGCUUCAAAACUCAACGGCACGCCAUUACAAAAAUAAAGUUGAGAAAUAAUGCGGCUUUUCGGGCCAACGCGACCAGAUCGCAUUUUGCACGAGAAAUUACACACCAUGUUUCGUUGACAUGUGGUCCCAUUCCAACAUGUCAGUGAGACGACGGCGAGUCCUUUUGUACUAUUUCCGAACGAACGUGUAGGCCGGGGUGCCUCUUUGUGUACCGUGCCAAACUGGCAACCAUCCACCGACUCUUCGCCUUUCCCUCUCGAUUUGGAACUGAUGUCGCACGCUCUUCCUCCCUCCUCCAUUUGCCUUCACCCUUCCUUCUGCCAUUGUUCAACCAUCUUGUCCAUGGAGGAAACAAGCCAGAAACGACCCCGUUAUUCUUGUCUCGAUCUGAAAGAUGACGUGGUGGAGGAACUCAUUGAUUGGUGCGACAUCGUCACCUCGGCUAGCAUGGCAGGUUCGUUCCAGACCAUUCUCGACUCAACUAAUAACAUAAUAACAAGGAACCCAAGGUUCCAGGAGCGGUUUGAUCUCCCUUAUCUUCUUCACUAUAAGCCUGUUCUUGAUAAUGAUAUGCAUGGGCGCGGACGACGGAGGCCACACCUUGUGCAAGUUGACACUGCUUGAUAAUGAUACGCGUGAUGUCAAGAUGCCAUCGCUUAAGGGUAAGGCCUGGGCUGGCACAAAUGGAGAUUGGGUUUUUUAUAUUGGGUACAAUUGCGAGUGGAACUUGUGAAUGUGUACACUCGUCAGCGGAUUCUACUUCCAAAAAUCUUAGAGUGCCCCGAGGUUGAGCACAUAGAUGAUAUGCGUACGUUCAAAAUACGAUCAUGGUGGCUGUCGUCUACGGAAGAUAGCAAUUUGUCGAGUUCCCAAACCGCUCUUGGAAUUACGAGAACUAUGAAGUUGUUGCUAUCUUCGACAAGCGUGUUGCCGUCGUUAUUGAUUCCACGGUUUGUCCAUGGAUAUUGCUCAAAAAUCAGUUUUUGUACACAGAUGAUGAGUACUGUGAUGCAAUUGAAUACGAGGAUCUUGUGUUUGCUGCCACCACUCGUGGCACUGUUUUUGCAUGGGAUCCUCGUAGUUUUGGUACAUUUGUCUUCCACCAUAAUUAUAAUUGUUUCAUCCACAUGCAUGCGGGUUAGCAAGUUUCCCUUUACUAAUUAACCUUCUUGUGUUUCCAAGGUCCUAUGAACAUUUCACCACUUAUACUUGAAAAUUUUUAUAACCAAGGGGGAGAUGAUGAUGGUGAUGAUCACGAGCAUGAGGACGAGCAGAACUUAUAUACUCAGUGGCACCUGGCAACUAAUUCCGAUGGAUCACCUCUUCUUGUCUAUAUAUAGUGCACUGAGAUUGUUACUACUGAGGCAGCACGUGUUGUCUCCCAUGGUCGCCCUCUUCGGACCUAUUCCAUCACCCGUUGCAGGGUAUUCGGGAUGGAUACAAGUGUGCUAGCGCCAACACCUUCUCCCUGGUUCAGUAUUGAUAGUCUUGGAGAAAACUCGCUCUUCCUUGGACUAAACUAUCCAAUGAUGGUUAAAGGCGAUCCAGCUGCUGUUGACACAAUGUUACUACCAUUUAUGAGAAGCAACUGUAUCUAUAACUCGGACAUUGCGGUGGUUCCCUACCCUGGUCCUUAUAUAUGCCGCUUUAGCCUGGAUGAUCAGUCAUGCGUUGCUCUUGUUAUUGACAAUAGCUGGCCCUUCCUAGAGCACCUAUGGUUCAAAGCAAGCAUUUCCAACGCCGAGGAUUGGUUGAGUUGAAGUUCAUUUCAUUGCUUGUUAUUUGUUGUGUGAUAAAAACUUCAGUAUUUACUAUAAUGUUUUGUUGGAAAUAUUCUAUAAUCUAACAUGUAUCCUCGUUGUCAUUGUGUGUUGAUGACUUGUUGUAUGUAAUGAAUGGUACAUUUGCAAAUGCAUGUCAUAGACUGAAUUUAUGAAUGGUUUUCGAGUCACUUCUUGGAGUGUGAGUACCGUAGUAGUAUAGCCAGCAUCCUGUUAGUAUAUGAAGUUGCCACAUCACAUAGAGCCAAUGUAACGCCCUCGAUGCGGAUAUAUCUCCCACGUGUCGAAGCACGACUUAGAGGCAUAACCGCAUUGAAAGCAAUGUCGUAAGUGAGGUAAUCUUCGCAAACAACCCAUGUAAUACAAUAAAGGAAAAGGUACAUAGUUGGCUUACACUCGCCACGUCACACAAAUAUCAUAAAUAACAGUACAUUCAUCCAAAUACACUCAAGGUCCGACUACGGAACCAAAAUGAAGAUAAACCCCAAAUGCAACAUAGUCCCCGAUCUCCCCAACUGGGCACCACUACUGAUCAUCUGGGAAAGACACGUAGUAACGACGAGAGUCUUCAUCGAACUCCCACUUGAGCUCGGUCAUAUCAUCUGGAGCGGUAUCAUCGGUCCCUGCAUUUGGUUUUGGAAGUAAUCUGUGAGUCACAGGGACUCAGCAAUCUCACACCCUCGCGGUCAAGACUAUUUAAGCUUAUAGGUAGGGUAAAGGUAUGAUGUGGAGCUGCAGCAAGCGACUAGCAUAUAUGGUGGCUAACAUAUUCGCAAAAGAGAGCGAGAAGAGAAGGCAAAAGCACGGUCGAUCAACUAUCAUCAAGAAGUGAUCCUAGAACAACCUACGUCAAGCAUUACUCCAACACCGUGUUCACUUCCCGGACUCUGCCGAGAAGAGACCAUCAUGGUUACACACGCGGUUGAUGCAUUUUAAUUAAGUUAAGUUACAGGUUACCUACAACCGGACAUUAACAAAUUCCCAUCUGCCCAUAACCGCGGGCACGACUUUCGAAAAUUCAAAUCUCUGUAGGGGAGUCCCAACUUAGCUCAUCACAAGCUCUCACAGUCAAUGAAGGAUAUUCCUUCUCCCAAGACAAUCCGAUCAGACUCGGCAUCCCGGUUACAAGACAUCUCGACAAUGAUAAAACAAGUCCAGCAACACCGCCCGAAUGUGAUGACAAAUCCCGAUAGGAGCUGCACAUAUCUCAUUCUCAGGGCACACUCAGAUAAGCAAUCCAUACAACUAAAACCAGCCCUCGAGUUUCCCCGAGGUGGUGCUGCAAGGGGCUCUAGUUUGGACCAACACUCAGAGGAGCACUGACCUGGGGGGGUUAAUAAAGAUGACCCUUGGGCUUCGGAAACCCAAGGGAAAAAGAGGCUAGCUGGCAAAUGGUAAAACCAAUGUUGGGCAUUGCUGGAGGAGUUUUAUUCAAGGAGAACUGUCAAGGGGUUCCCAUUAUAACCCAACCGUGUAAGGAACGCAAAAAUCCGGGAACAUAACACCGAUAUGACGGAAACUAGGGCGGCAAGAGUGGAACAAAACACUAGGCAAAAGGCCGAGCCUUCCACCCUUUACCAAGUAUAUAGGUGCAUUAAGAUAAACAAGAUAAUAUGGUGAUAUCCCAACAAUAAACAUGUUCCAACAAGGAACGAUCUCCAAUCUUCACCUGCAACUAACAACGCUAUAAGAGGGGCUGAGCAAAGCGGUAACAUAGCGAAACAACAGUUUGCUAGGACAAGGUGGGUUAGAGGGUUGACAUGGAAAUUUAGGAGGCAUGAUAAGCAAGUGGUAGGUAUCGUAGCAUAGGCAUAGCAAAAGAGCGAGCAUCUAGCAAGCAAAGAUAGAAGUGAUUUCGAGGGUAUGGUCAUCUUGGCUGCAAAGUUCUCAGAGUUGCCUUGAUCCUCAUAAGCGUACUCAACGGGCUUCCUCGUUCACGUACUCGUCUCCCGGCUCUACCCAAGUAAUAACAACAAGCAAAAGGAACACAAUCAAUCCCGUGCAAUGCUCAAACAACAUGAUGCAAACAUGGUAUGAUAAUGCGGGACGCGGUAUGUGAUGCAUAUGCAUGAUUUCGAAAGGAAUGAUUGAACUUGGCCUCAACAUGGAAAUCCAAGAGUGCCACUAGAAAGGGGAGUUGAUUUUGGUUGAAAUCAAUAUAAAGAUCACCGGAAACAGAUGCACGGUUUGGAAAUGGCAAGCAAAACAAAUAUGGCACCGGUCUGCGAUAAUCAGCAAGAGCCUUCUAAAUGCAUCAAGAUAAAUAAACUACUGCACUCAAACAUGAUAACAAAAUACAUGGGAGGGAUCCACUCAUGAUGAUUGACAAAAUAUGAACACUGAGCUACGGCUAAUUCACUCAAUAGCAGGUUCAAACAAGCAUGACAAAAGUGUAAAAGAUAACAGGUUUCAGACUUAGUGAAAUUAACAGCAUGUCAGGAAUUUAUCAUCAGGAAGCAAUGUUUAGAGCACGAUAACUAUAUGCUACAGGAACAUAUCAUGGCAAAGCAAGGCAUGGUAUGAAGCUGCUCUAAGCAUAUAACAAAAGUCCCUUAGAGACCAUGAGCCAAAAGGGAUCACAAAAUACAAUUGCAAGCAUGUGAAUAUAGCAAAAACAUAAACAGAUUCAGACUUAGUGAAAAACUGGAGCAUGGCAAAACAGAUAACGAGUAGGCAUGUUUACGAGCUCGAUGCACUCACUACGAGGCAUUGCAUGAAAAACUAAACAUACACCCAGCAAAUAGACAUGGCAUAGAAGCUAGACAUGGCAAGAACAACAACAUAGCAUGCACGGAUCAACUACAAUAAGCUCGGCAAAAUCGCUAAAUAUGUUAACAAUCUGCCAGGAACAUUUUAUAGUAAAAUUAGAGAUCGAUUGACUCAAUCUAGGGUGCUCCAUAAUUGCAAACAAAGGCAUGUAUGGAUAGAUCACAACAUUAUCUACAAAACAUCCUUUACUGAUCAUGCUCAAAAGAGGCACAGAUCACUAGGAAACAACAUGAACAUAUGGCAUAAAAAUAAUGACAGGGCAAGGACUUAGUGAAAUUCUAAGUCCCUGAAAUCAGCAUCAUUGAGUAAGCUACUUUGCAUGCUUGUGCUAGUCACCACAAAGGUCGCAAAAAUACAUGGCAUACACCCCUAUAAAGAUGGCAUGGCAUACAUCAAAAUACAUGUAGAGCUCGGGAUCAUAGCAUGCACAUAUUAAUCAUGAGAAAAAUGACAAAAGUUUAUUUGCUGAAACAGAUCUGAAAUUAUCUUCACACAGCCCUCUUCCAACAGUAUUUCGGGCAUCAAGGUGAGCUCAAAUAAAAAUGAUGCAAUGAGAUGAAAUGGAGUACUCGUCGAGGCGAACAUUUGAUAUGCUACACGCACGAAUCGGAGCUACGAUGAGAAAGUUAUGGCAUGAUGAAGAAUGCUAAAAUUUACUAAGAGAGGCAAAAGUCAACCCGAUUCUCAGAUCUAGGGUUCGCACACGGAUCGAGGUGGCGGCGGAUCCGAGCUCGCCGGAGCUGUAGACGGCCGGAGUACGAACCACCGGAGUGAGGGGGAGGUGGAUCUGGCGGGGGCGCGGCUAGCGACGAGGAUGGUGAGGGCGCGGCGCCUCGGAGCGGUGCGGAAGCCGAGUCGGCGGGGUGACGAUNNNNNNNNNNNNNNNNNNNNNNNNNNNNNNNNNNNNNNNNNNNNNNNNNNNNNNNNNNNNNNNNNNNNNNNNNNNNNNNNNNNNNNNNNNNNNNNNNNNNNNNNNNNNNNNNNNNNNNNNNNNNNNNNNNNNNNNNNNNNNNNNNNNNNNNNNNNNNNNNNNNNNNNNNNNNNNNNNNNNNNNNNNNNNNNNNNNNNNNNNNNNNNNNNNNNNNNNNNNNNNNNNNNNNNNNNNNNNNNNNNNNNNNNNNNNNNNNNNNNNNNNNNNNNNNNNNNNNNNNNNNNNNNNNNNNNNNNNNNNNNNNNNNNNNNNNNNNNNNNNNNNNNNNNNNNNNNNNNNNNNNNNNNNNNNNNNNNNNNNNNNNNNNNNNNNNNNNNNNNNNNNNNNNNNNNNNNNNNNNNNNNNNNNNNNNNNNNNNNNNNNNNNNNNNNNNNNNNNNNNNNNNNNNNNNNNNNCGCCGGCGACGCGCGCGUGGGCCGGGAGGGCUCUCCCCGGGCCCAGGCGGGCCCGCGCGGCGGCGAUGUGGGCACCGGGCGGCGACGAGUCAGGUGGUGCCACGUGUCGGCGGCGGAGUUGUGUCCGGCGGCGCGGGGAGCGGAAUUUUAGGGUUUCGCCCGGAUUUGGAAUGUAGGGAUCUUUAUAUAGGGGUAGAGGGAGCUAGGAAGCUCCAAAUGAGGUGCGGUUUUCGGCCACGCGAUCGUGAUCGAACGCUCUAGAUGAUGGAGGAGGUUUUGGUGGGUUGUGGGCCAGUUUGGAGGGGUGUUGGGCUGCAACACACACGAGGCCUUCUCGGUCCCUCGGUUAACCGUUGGAGUAUCAAACGAAGUCCAAAUGACACGAAACUUGACAGACGGUCUACCGGUAGUAAACCAAGGCCGCAUGACAAGUCUUGGUCCAAUCCGAAAACGUUUAACACCCGCACACGGAAAGAGGUAGAAAGGGACACCGGAGGAUAUAGGAGCGCCGGAAUGCAAAACGGACAAUGGGAAAAUGCUCGGAUGCAUGAGACGAACACGUAUGCAAAUGCAAUGCAUAUGAUGACAUGAUAUGAGAUGCAUGACAAAGACGAAAACACACGAAGGCAAAAACCCGACAAAGUGGAAAUAUCAUAACUUAGUGCCGAAAAUGGCAAGAGUUGGAAUAUAAAUAAGGUAAGUUACAUCAGGGGUGUUACAGCCAACCUAAUAUUGGAGUAUGCUAGCCCUCCAUCGGUGUGUCGCUUCAAAUGGCAGACAAAGUGAGAGGUCGCGUCACCACUUGUACCAGAUGAAUGACUCCAAGUUCGACCACCGUGAUGCUAGGUGCGAGCCGAUGAACACUGUUGGAGACACCCCCCUCAUAAUAUUCCUAUAUUGGCCGUUUGAUUCAUAGGAUAGAAUGCUAUAGGAAUUUUUUUCCCUAUGUAAUCAUGUUUUAAUUGGCAAUCUAGCAUCCACUCCAACUUUUGUUUCACUUCCUUUGUUCCUAUGAAGAGAGUACUUUCUCUAAGUUAUGUGCCUAUGCAAGAGCCGCCUAUAUUAAUUAACCAUGCUCUAAAAAGGUGGACCAGCUUUGGCUAUAGUAGUACUGUACUAGGUUAGUAGGUGACCUUGUGCUUGGCUCUUCUUCUUUUCUGGAAGUCGAACAAUAAUGAUGGUACUGCAGUGGUACUUCUGGCAAUCUGACACCAAAUGAACUGUUGCACAUCCAUCGCUUGUAAGCAAAAGUUUCUCCUCAUGCUGCGAGCCACCGCGCACGCGUUAGCGAGGGAGAAGGCGUACUUAGCAAGCAAGCUUCUCGUCGUUCUGCGAGUUGACGGGACACAUCAAAGUUAUUUAUUAGUACUCUCCUCAAAAAGGGCCAACCAUGUCCAUGGCUACCAUCCCGUGCUCUGUCAUUGAGUACAUGCACUAUUCACGUGCCAUCGAGGAAAAAAUAUUGCAUAGUACUAGGUGCCAUCGAAGUGCACGACUCACUUACGCACUGCAUAUCUCCAUUUUCUUGCAUGACACGCCACCUAGAUGUUAUAUGUCCCGCGUUUCAUGGAGGCAUAUAGUAUGAUUUUUAAAAUGGAGGCAUAUAGAUGUCUCGCGUGUUGGCAAAAGGAUGAACAAAGCUCAUGUCUUAAACGAAAGAGUGAAAGAACAUAGAUUCCCGACGACCGAGAAGGAGCAACGAACCUCGCGGUGGAGCGUCUGCACUCAUAAUAUUUUAUAUUAUUCAAUGAUAUAAAAUCAACCAAAUCUCUCCACGUUCCUAUACCAUUCUAUAGUAUGAGAAUAACUUUGAACGUAAGCCAUUUAUUCACUCUAUCCAACGGUCAUAGUUGGAAAAUCCAAACAAAACCAAGCAUUGGAUCAACUCUUUUAGCACUUAGAUUUUUGCCGCCUGCCCACCUAGCCCACCUAUAUAUCCGCUCACGUGUGAUGACCACAUGAGCUAUCCACUCAGAUUGUAUGUUAAAAAAUAAAGGUCGAUAACUAAUGCGGUACCUCGGGCCAACGCGGCCAGAUCGCAUUUUGCAAGAGAAAUUACACAACAUGUCUUAUUGACAUGUGGUCCCGUUCCAACAUGUCAGUGAGACGACGGCGAGUCCUUUUGUACUAUUUCCGAACGGACGUGUAGGCUGGGGCGCCUCUUCGUGUACCGUGGCAAACUGGCAACCGUCCACCGACUCUUCGCCUUUCCCUCUCGAUUUGGAACUGAUGUCGCACGCUCUUCCUCCCUCCUCCAUUUACCUUCACACUUCCUUCUGCCAUUGUUCGAUUGUCUUCUCCAUGGAGGGAACAGCCAGGAAACGAUCCCGUUAUUCUUGCCCCGAUCUGAAAGAUGACAUGGUGGAGGAACUCAUUGAUCGGUGCGACACCAUCCGCUCGGCUAGCAUGGCAGGUUCGUUCAAGACCAUUCUCGACUCAACUAAUAACAUCAUUACAAGGAACCCAAGGGUCCAGGAGUGGUUUGAUCUCCCCUAUCUUCUUCACCGUGACCCUGCUGACUGGCGCGGGGACGAGGGAAGCCUCGCCUUGUGCAAGUUGAUGCCGCUUGAUAAUGAUACGUAUGAUGUUAAGAUGCCAUCGCUUGAGGGCAAGUCUUGGGCAGGCACAAAUGGAGAUUGGGUUGUUUAUAUUGGGAACAACUGCGAGUGGGAACUUGUGAAUGUGUACACUCGUCACCGGGUUCCACUUCCAAAAAUCUCAGACUGCCCAGAGGUUGAGCACACACUACUAGGGAAAACCUUAUACACAGAAUCUUAGCAGCAACGCGGUUUAAAAACAAACGCUACUACUAGGUAGCGGUAGCGAGCUUCAGAAAACAGCGCUGCUAAUAGCACGGUAGCAGUAGCGGUCUACGUGAAACAAGCGCUACUACUAUAAUUGCCACGGCGUUGCCCCCGGGCUAGAUAUAGUAGUAGCGCCCCUCCGGGGACGCGCUACUGAUAAAGUAUUUAGUAGCAAUGUUUUUCUCCAAAACACGCUACUGCUAAGUACUGCACCUAAUUAAGUUUAGUCCCAUACUGCUAAGCGAACAAGGUGUUUACCACCUUAAAUAUGUUACUUCUCAAACUAUCUCGAGCACUUGGUCUUCAUUGAACUAUAUGUGUAGGAUUUGUGGCUGCAAUAUGAAUCUUCACCAGUGCUUAUACAGGUACAGUGAUGAUUCAUGUUGACUAUUUAGAUUCUACACAAAAAGAUCAAUGAUGACCAAUGUAUAUUUUUGAAGUUUUUACAUGCUUUGACUUAGCAGUAGCAUUUUUUCAGGGCAAAACGCUACUGAUAUCAUAAAACAGAAAGGAGUAGCUGUAGCGUGUUUCGCUUGACAAGCUAUAGCUAACUUAGCUAUAGCGCGUUUGGGCCAAACGCGUUGCUGCUAGUUUGACUUAACCCCCGCCGUCGGGCUCAAAAUUUCCCUAAGUCCUUCCCCUCCACUUCCCCCUCUCCCCAAACUGCUCCAUCGCCGUCGUCGCCCUGCCGCUCUCGACCUCACCGCCGCCGCUCUCGACCUCACCACCGCCGCCGCCCGCCGCACACCCUCAACGCCGCCCCCGACCCCGACCUCGACGCUGCCCCCGACCUCGACGCCGCCCCCGACCCCGACAUCGACGCCGCCCUCCUUCGCGCGCCCGAGCCCUGACCCCGCCCUCGACGCCGCCUGCCCCUCCCUCGNNNNNNNNNNNNNNNNNNNNNNNNNNNNNNNNNNNNNNNNNNNNNNNNNNNNNNNNNNNNNNNNNNNNNNNNNNNNNNNNNNNNNNNNNNNNNNNNNNNNNNNNNNNNNNNNNNNNNNNNNNNNNNNNNNNNNNNNNNNNNNNNNNNNNNNNNNNNNNNNNNNNNNNNNNNNNNNNNNNNNNNNNNNNNNNNNNNNNNNNNNNNNNNNNNNNNNNNNNNNNNNNNNNNNNNNNNNNNNNNNNNNNNNNNNNNNNNNNNNNNNNNNNNNNNNNNNNNNCCCCUCCCUCGCCGCAGUCACCGUAAGGCUCUUUAGUAGUAGGCAUUUUUAGGGCAGUAGGCAUUUUUUAGGGUAGUAGGCAUUUGUUUAAGGCAUUAGGCAUUUUUAGGGCAAUAGGCAUUUAUUUAGGGCAGUAGGCAUUUUUAGCAUUUAGGAAAAAUGAUUAACAAUUUUUUUAGGAAAUUAGCUAGGGCAAAUUUUGAUGAAAAAACAAAAAACAGAAUUGUUUUUCUUUCAAAAACUUGGUUAAACUAAUUGUUGCUAUGUUAACAAAAAACAUGAUUGUUGUUAUAUGAUAUAUGUCAUUGAUGUUCAUUUGCAUAUUCCAUUAUUGAAGUGGUUCGAUUGUUCCCAAGUGGAUUUGUUGUUUCCAGGGAAUGAAGUCGAGUGGCCUAUGUUUUGCCGGAAUGUUGAUUUAUUUCCGUUCCGGCAAAUUUUAGGUUCUCGAUUUGUCCACUUUUUAGUAAAAGUCAUGCCGAAAUUUUCCAUGAAUUUCGGCAUGACUUGUGCUAGAAACUAGGACAUAUGGAGUGAGAUGAUUAAUUUUGCUUAUUGAGUGCAUGCUAAUUUGAAUACUUAUUUAUUUUACGAUUUGGUUUUGCUUAUUGAAUGCCUAUGUCAAUAUGAGUCCUAUAUGAUAUUUUGAGUAUCUUGGUAGUUGUCUUCGAUCGAUUUUCAAUUAAUGUUUCAACUAUGAACACAGGAAAUGUCUGACAACGAAAAUGAUUUCGGUAUUUGCAAAUACUGCGAAGACGAGCGCGGCAUGUGCGACAAAAUUUUCCUAGAUUAUGAUAGGCGCUUCAACAUCAAGCUGGGCGUGAACUUCGAAGUGGAUACAGUAAGUCACAGCGACAAGUCCUUUUCGUAAUUAAGCAUGACAUCUGCUUCACUUGCUUCAACUUAUAAUUUAUUUUUUUUACUAUUCUACUACCGUAUCCCCUGCCAUGCAAGAGUUUUUUUCUUGGAUAAGAUAGAUUUCAGUCGUACUAUGGAGGUAAACAAAGUUUACUUGAAGAACGAGCAUGGUUGUAUUUUCCACGGAAAAUGAUACAACGCAGACGACUACGCCUAUUUUGGUUGCAAAACUUGGCGAGCACUAUGCAAGACUUAUGCAUUUCAGCCUGAUAUGGUUAUCACCUUUGAUAUUCAUCCGGAAGAUGAUAUUGAAGGUAAUACCGACAUCUGGGUCAAUGUGCAGAUGCCUCCAGUUAUACCACUAUGUGAGUUUCUCAACCAUAUUUAUGUCUUUGAUAUUGUUUAUUAAAAAAUAGUUGACAACUAAUUUCUAUCGUCAGCUUAUUUCUGUUCAAGCAAACAUGUCCAGCGCUUGGUAGACAGGACCUACUACUGUCUCAGGGCUGAACUAAACUGCAAGGAGCUAAGUCAUUAUGUUUCAUGGCUUGAGGAUCUUGAUACUGUCAAGACAAAUUUUCUUUCUGCACUUAGAAAUGUUAGUACUGAAAACGUGCGACCAAUAGUGUUCGUAAUGAACUACGGUCACAUCUAUUUAGGAAAGAUGGUAAGAUUUUGACUAUUUGUCCUCAGUGCAUCUUUUGCAUACAUUUUUUAAGCUAAACUUCAUUGCUAAGUAUGUUACUAUACGAUGUUCUUCAACAGGGACUCCCAGUGAAUGUUGUGCCUCAUGGGAUCGAGACUAAAGGUACCAUGAGUAUUGUUAGCUUACGGCCAAGAUAUCCUACAAUGCACUUUAGUGCAUUCAAGAUUUCUAAUAGCGAGGGAUGCUUAAUAGUGAAAGACUGGACCAAAUUUGUGAUGGAGGAGUGCAGAGAAGUACUAGGGGGCAGCAAUCAGAAGCGCAGCGCACGAUUAGGAGACAGGUUCAUCUGCAUGCUCCAACUUGAUGAAGGAGGAGAGCUACACAUGUUUUAUGUUAUUUUACCUGAGAGAGAGCAGCAGGAGUGAUUAGCUAGCUAGAAAUAAGUUUGAAGAUGAUGAUGUGCUACAGUAUGACUAUGAUGAUUAAAUAGCUAGUGUUGGUGGUAAUGACUAUGAUGAUUAUUAUUAGCUAGUGUUGGUGGUGAUUAGAAUGGGUUUGAAGAUGAUGGUGUGAUACACUAUGACUAUGGUGAUUAAAUAAAUACUGUUGGUGGUAAUGACUAUGAUGAUGAUUAAAUAGCUUGUGCUGGCAGAUUAGAUUCAAGUGGAGGCAACAUGUGGUGCAUAUCGAAAGUACUACUAGUCUAAACUAGAUCAAGUUUGGAUUAGUAGUAUACCUUUGACAUGCACCACAUAUUGCCUCCACUUGAACCGAAUACACCACUGUUAUGGACAUAAUGAUAUAAACCUCAUAAUUGGUAUUGUACCAAAAUUUGUAUAACGGUGUAUAAAUACACUAAAAAUAAAAAAAUAAAAAAAGAAUACUAGUAGCGAUGGAUAGUAAACACGCUCCAACUAGCUAGAUUAGCAGCAGCGCGGGAGAGAACAAGCGCUGCCGCUAUGUGUCUUAGCAGUAGCGCGUGCGGCAGGCGCUACUGCUAAGUAAUAGCUGUAGCGCGGCAGCCUGCGCUACUAGUGGGCAUUAAACCCGCGCUACUACUAGGGUUUUCCCUAGUAGUGACACCGGUAUUCUAGGCACGUUCAAAUACGAUCAUGGUGACUGUCUUCUAUGAAAGAUAGCAAUUUGUCGAGUUCCCAACCGCUCUUGGCAUUACAGGAACUAUGUAGUUGUUGCUAUCUUCGACAAGCUUGUUGCCGUCCUUCAUGGUUCGACUGGAUGGAUAUUGCUCAAAAAUCAGUUUCUAUACACGGAUGUGUACUGUGAUGCAAUUCAAUACGAGGGUCUUGUGCUUGCUUCCACCACUCGUGACACUGUUUUUGCAUGGGAUCCUCGUAGUUUCGGUACGUUUGUCUUCCAUCGUAAUUAUAAUUGUUUCAUCCACAUGCAUAUGGGUUAGCAAGUUUCCCUUUAGGCUGCUCGUAGUGAGAGUAUCAUAGGUAGUAUCAUGCAUGCCAACUAGGAAGUUUUGAUGAGGUGGCAUGGAAUUAAAUGAAGAAAGAGGGGGUUGAGUAUCAUAUCAUGACACCGUAUCAUAUUAAAUGAUGUGCUACUAUAUGUCAUGCAUGGCAAUAAAUGACUAUCCUAUAAUACUAACAUAUGAUACUAUGCACUACGGAUGUAGUCUCAUACACUAGUACCAUAUGCAUGAUACUAGUAUAUGAUCCUCUCCAUUACAACCAGCCUUACAAAUUAACCUUCUUCUUGUGUUUCCAAGGUCCCGUCAACAUUCCACCACCUAUACUUGAAAAAAAUUAUAACCAAGGGGGAGAUGACGAUGGUGAUGAUCACGAGCAUGAGGACGAGCAGGGCCCAUAUACUCAGUGGCGCCUGGCAACUUAUUCCGAUGGAUCACCCCUUCUUAUCUGUAUAUAGCCCACUGUUGAUGUUACUACUAAGGAAGCAGGUGUUUUCUCCCAUGGUCGCACUCUCCGGACCUAUUCCAACACCCGUUGCACGGUAUUCAGGAUGGAUACUAGUGUGCUAGCGCCAACACCUUCUCCCUGGUACAGUAUUGAUAGUCUUGGAGAAAACUCGCUCUUCCUUGGACAAAACUAUCCAAUGAUGGUGAAAGGCGAUCCAACUGUUGUUGACACAAUGUUACUACCAUUUAUGAGAAGCAACUGUAUCUAUACCUCGGACAUUUUAGUGGUUCCCUACCCUGGUCGUGAUAUAGUAGGCCGCUUCAGCCUGGAUGAUCAUUCAUGUGUUGGUCUCAAGAUUGACAGUAGAUGGCCCUUCCCAGAGAAUCACUUAUGGUUCAAAGCAAGCGUUUCCAACACCGAGGAUUGGUGGAGUUGAAGUUCAUUUCAUUGCUUGUUAUUUGUUGUGUCAUGAAAACUUUAGUAUUUAUAAUGUAUCCUGGUUGUCGUUGUGGGUUGAUGACCUGUUGUAUGUAAUAAAAUGAUAUGCCUGUGAUAAACUUACUAAAUUUAUGAAUGACUUUCAAGUCGCUUCUCUGAGUGGGUGCUGCGACGGGGUAAAAAAUAUUUUCCGAACACAUAAUUGUACAUGCAUUGCAACAGGUUAUCGGAUGAGGCCAAUCAACAAUAGUACACUUUGUACUAGCUUCAUAUGCUUCGCGCGUCGGGCGGGUGUUUUUACUGUAGCUGCGAAUCCCAUCAUCCUAGGUCCUCGGAUGAGUCCAGUAGAAAUUGCAUUCUGAUGUCUGGGUUUAAACUUUCAGAACUGCCGCACUAUCUCUACGUCUACGUAUACGCAAUACAACAAGUUUUAAACUUGAGACCAUCCACCCACUCUCACAAAGAACAAUUUUUAACCUAGCACAGACUCCAGGAAAUUUGGCUACAGUAUGAGGUGGGACAUAUGUUAAUGUGUUCGCUGUAUGUAACCAGCACUUCGAAUCCUCGAUACUACUACUAUAUAGUAGUAGGGUGGCAUAUGGGCCAGAACAAGCAUUCACGUCCAGGAGUAUGGCACACGCCACCAGCACGACUUCCAUCUAACACCAUAUUUCUUGGAGUCCGUGCUACAACUAUCUCUUCAACCUCGUCGUUUCUCUAACUCGGCCAUCGCGCGGCGGGCGAGGUGGGGGUUUGCCGAUAGUUGGUUUCCUCAACUGUGGUCCCACUUGUAAGUCCAACUCCAACGUACGACCCCAAACAGACCUCCAUUUUACCCGGAUUCUCUCCAUUUGGGUAGGGCAAUGGGGUCGUGUCCGGCCCAUUUCUCAGAUGCGGUGGCCGUGCGCCCAACGUGCGGACGGAUCCCGGCCGCAUACAUUUUUCUUUGCAAACACAUAUCUUUUUUUCAUCAUUGAUUUUUGGUACAUGGAAAUACAUCACCAAAAUUUGACUAGAAAAGCAAGACCAAAGAAAACAAGAACCACAAGAAUACAUUUUAGAAGAUAUCCAACUUCCAUAACUGCUCCUAUAAGUUGGACUAGUGCCUUCUCGAUGCAUUCAUUGUUGAUAUGCGGAGGCUCGAUCUUGCAUGCUUCUUUCUUCUUCGAGUGUAAAGAAGUAGAUGUUGCUUCCUCGCAUCUAGUCUCAUGUCUAGCCUAUAUUCUAUCAACAAGUGUACUAGUCUCAUCUCUAGUCUCUAUGCUAGCUAAAAGUGCUAGAACAUCUACUAAAUUGCGCUCUAUUAAUAUAUCGAUGUACUCUUUUUCCCAAUACCAAAACUUGCAUCCAUUCUACACAAUAAAAAUUUUAAGUUAGCACAACUAGUCUAAUCCGAGAGCACAACCGAAGAUUUGGUCGAGUUCUUCCUUCUUUUGCUGACACGUGGGACAUCCAGCAUCCAGGUCGUGUCAUGCAAGAAAAUGGAGUGGUAGUUGAAGCCAUGUGAUGUGCAUCUUGGGUUAAACUGUAAAUAGAAUCUUACUACUCUUGAGUAACUCCAAAAGCGGCCACCGAAGAUCUUUAUUGGAUUUGUUUUUCAUCACCAGCAUGUCGAGGUGAAAGAUGUGCAGGUUCAGUGGGUCCUCUUGCAUUUUCACUGACAUGUGGGACAGCAUAUGAGUAAACAGAUGGUGGGCUCCGCGCGUGUGCUGGCUGGCUGAGAAGAGAGAUAGAGGAGGGCUGAGCACGGACUCCAGGAAAUUUGUUCUAUGUAACAAGCACCUCGAUAUGGGCUCGAUAUAGUGGGGUGGCAUGGGCCAUAACUAGCAUUCACGUCUAGCAGUACGGCACACGCCACCCACAGGAGUCCCAUCCGACACCAAUUUUCUUGGAGUCCAUGCUACAGCCAUCUCUUCUCCCUCCUGUUUUCUCAGCCAUCGCGCGGUGAGCGGGGUGGGGGUUUGCCGAUAGUCGGUUUGCUCAACUGCGGUCCCACUUGUAAGUGAUAAAUGCAACACAGCACGCAUUCCCCCUUGAGUGGCGUGUCGGACCAACCGUGUGGGGGUGUGACGCGAACACGGCAGGCUUUUCCUUUUGAACUUGUAACUUGUAAAAUUUGGUUCUGCUCCAUGGCGUGACCAAUAGAUAGAAAUAACGAUUUUCCCUAGAGUAAUGAGAAAUUUGGUCCUGGUGCGGUUCAUGCAUGGAGUACGUACGAAAAUUAUGAAGUUGAUGCGAAAGGUAAGAUAAUUACUAGUAGUACCAUAUACUACUACAUGGAUUUGGCGGAAAGAUAAAAAUACAUACGGAUCCAUCAACGACAUCCUCACGCACUAGUGCGCCGGGUCACCAGCCGACGUGUGAGGAGCAGCGGCAUUGGCGGCGAGCUCAAUGUGCUUCUGAACAAUGCCGUCCAAGGUUGCCCUGCGGUCCAAGAAGGCCAGCGUCCUAUCGUCCUCCUCUUGCAUGUAGUAGUCCUUGUGGACGAUUUGUGCGUACGUGGGUGAUUAUGUCCAUGGUGUCUUGCUGCGCCAGGCGCUGCGCGGCGAGCGCGACCUCGAGGUGGACAUUCUCCGACGCGAUGACGGGAAGUCACAGGGCCACCAGUGCGUUGGUAUGUCGUCUUCGUCGCUCUCUCUAUGGCCUUAAGCAGGCCCCUCGCGCCUGGUUUGAGUGUUUUCCCUCUGUGGUGACUGCCGCUGGGUUUUUAGCGAGUGCUCAUGAUCCAGCGUUGUUUGUCCACCUUUCAGCUCGUGGUCAGACUCUUCUUCUUCUCUAUAUCGAUGACAUGAUCAUCACUGGUGAUGACCCCGAGUAUAUUGCCUUUGUGAAGAUCCGUCUUAGUGAGCAUUUUCUUAUGUCUGAUCUUGGCCCUCUUUGGUACUUUCUUGGGAUAGAAGUCUCUUCUACCUCUGAUGCCUUUUUUAUUUCCGAGGAAAGGUAUAUCCAGGAUCUUCUUGCUCGUGCUGGGCUUACUGAUGGGCGCAUUGUUGAGACUCCCAUGGAGCUCAAUGUUCACCUCCGUGAUACUGAUGGUGACCCCUUGUCUGAUCCGACGCGUUACCGUCAUCUUUUUGGGAGUCUUGUCUAUCUAGCUGUCACUCGUCCAAAUAUCUCUUAUCCAGUCCAUAUUUUGAGUCAGUUUGUCUCUGCUUCCACUUCAGUCCACUACAGUCACCUUCUUCGUGUUCUCCGAUAUCUUCAUGGCACGAUCUCUCACCGUUUGUUCUUUCCUCGCUCCAGUUCAUUACAGCUUCAGGCCUUUUCGGAUGCUAUGUGGGCUAGUGAUACCUCGGAUCGCCGUUCACUUUCUUCUUACUGUGUUUUCCUUGGUGGUUCUCUCAUUGCCUGGAAGACGAAGAAAAGAUCGCAGUUUCCCGUUCGAGUGCAGAGGCUGAGUUGCGAGCUAUGGCUCUUUUGACGGCAGAGGCGACUUGGUUAUGGUGGUUACUUCAUGAUUUUGGUGUUUCUGUCACUACAUCUACUCUGCUAUUUUCUGACAGUACAGGUGCUAUUAGCAUUGCCCGCGACCCUGUGAAGCAUGAGCUCACCAAGCAUAUUGGUGUUGAUGCUUUUUAUGUGCGCGUUGGUGUGCAGGAUCAGGUUAUUGUUCUUCAGUAUGUGCCUUCCGAGUUACAGCUGACGGACUUCUUUACAAAGGCCCAAACUAGAGCACAAGAUGGCCUCUAUUUCUCCAAACUCAGUCUUGUUCUUCCACCAUGAGUUUGAGAGGGGGGGGGGGGAGGUUAGAGUAGUAUAUAUAGCCAUGUAGCCUUUUGUCUUAACCUCGUUGUAAAAGGGGUUUCCUUCAUAUUUCCUGCACCUGUACAUGUAUAUAUACCGGCUUAUGGCCCCAUGGAAAUACAAGUUGCAUAUUCCUAACAAAAGAGACACACACAAUGUACACAGAGGUCGGGUGUGUGCUCUUUGGGUUUGUAUCCUCUUGAUGCUUCAGGAUUCCACAUCUAGUCUACUGCUUACAUCACACAUGACCUUUUUCACUUCACAUAUAGUAGAUGCAGUUCUUCUGUUCUUGUACCUGGUUGGUCUACAAGCUUGGCAUAUGCGGCUGAGUCUGCCACGGGAUCGGCACCAUAGUCUGCUCCUCCUCCUCGGCUUGUAAGCACGGAUGUACGCAUCUCUGCAUCAAGCGUGCGCGGCAGAGGCGGAGGUGUGCAACGACGUGGAACAAGGGCAAUUCUGCUCGAGCUCCAGCGACAACGAGCCAUCAGGCGACACCACCACCACUCGGCGUAGGCACACUGCGGCAAGGCAGGAUCGAGGUGAAGGACAUGGAGAGCGACACGGUUUCGGCAUCCGGCCACAAGACGGAGACCGAGUGCGAGUCCGGGGUGGAGGCGGAGCACGUACGGUACCUCCUCACGUCCCCGAGGAAUCCGAGGAUACAGAAUAAAUACUUGGCCGGCCGGCGCUCUUUGUCGCCACCGUACCGUGAGAUAUCAUACAGAUACAGAGCAGGGAGGGAGAUCACGUACGUACGUUCGUUCCCGAGUCAAGCGCGCAGAUUGAUAGAUAGAUAGAUGUCCAAUUUUUGCGUUGAGGAGGAGGAGAUGCAUAAUACUAGUAGUACCCAACAACAAAUCAACAAGGCCGUCGACUUGGCGGCUUACCUUGUUGAUCAUCCUGACAAGGCCCUCGGCUUUCUGGUGCAUGAGACGCAAGGGUUGCGCCGUCGGAUUCAGUCCCAGGCAUCGCUUCUGAGGAAUUCUCAAGUCGACAUGCGCUCGGACAAGCUCCAAAAGAUGCGUCUCAUGUCCACCGCAUUGCUUAUUAUGCAUCUCCUCCUCCUCGUGACUACAAGGACGACCAAAUUCCUUGGCCUCUUCGUUCUCACUAUUCCGGCUGGAAGUCUACGUGGGGAAGUCCACCGCCAGCUCAUGGCACAUUUUAUGACACAAGUAAGAUAAGAAUGCUUUUUUCAACAACAGAUUAGAUUAUCAACUGUUCUUUAAUACCAAACAUCAACAUCUAGAGGGUAUAGACUGGCCUACCGCUCCCGCGGCGCGCCCCGCGCGUGCCUCGGGAGAUCCCGAUCGGCCGCCGCCGCCGUCGCCUCCCCAGCAUCGCCUUCCCCUCGCCGCCGCCGGAGUGCGCCCGCCGGGCGAAGCCUGCGCGGCGCGGGCGGCGGCGGGGCAUUCCCUCCUUCCUCUGGUCCUCGUGGCGGCGGCGGGGCAUUCCCUCCUUCCUCUGGUCCUCGUGGCGGCGGCGCGGGCCGUCAGAUCGGGGACAAGGGGCGCCUCGUCCGGCUGGUCUCCCGGAGGCGGGGACGGCUGGAUCCGGCGGCGACUGGGCUAGGAGGAGGUGGCGCGGUGUGGCGGUGCUGGUGGCAGGGUUUCGGUCGAGGUCGUCUUCGAUCUAGAUCGGGAUCUCCAUCGGGGGCGUCGCACGGCGGUGGGAUCGGAUCGGCGGCAACAUCACCGGUUCGGCGGAGGGCUCCGUUCCAGCCAACCGCGAGAUCGGGACGCCGUGGCUUCCGGUGAAAAUAGCGUCUGACUGCGGUCAUGGCGGACGAUGGCGGCGUCUCGGACGUCAUUCCCUUCUCGAGGCAUCGUCGUUGCAGGUCACGUCAACCUGAUCGGAAGGUUCCGGGGGAAACCCUAGAUCUGGAUUUACCGGAUUGGACGAUGGCGACGUUUUGAUGUCGUUUUCCCUCCUGGGGGCAUUGUUUUGGAGCAAGUGUUGGCUGGAGGGGACAAGAGGAGGAUCGGCGUGGCAUCUGGCACGUCGACAACGGCGGGUCUCAGCGGCAUGGAGCAGCGGGGGUCUCGCCGGUGGGCGUGUGUGAUGAUGGACGAGUGCAGGAUGGUGGCGCUGUCUGGCGUCGAUGGCAAAGAGACCUGGCACGGUUCAUGCAACAGUACAACUCUGAAGAUGGAUUGAUGGCAUGUGGCUGCGGCGGCCUCAUACCCGGCGGGCGUCCUGGUUGAGGAGUGCGCCGGACUGGUAGGUGCCCCAUACCCGGCAGGCGUCCUGGUUGGGACCUCAAGUCUUAGAUGUUUAGGUUUGGCUGCGAUGUCUGUUUGGUAUUAGGCCCAGACUAUCUGCGUCCCUUCAUCAGUUGGAUUGGUGUAGCGACAGCUGUUGCUUAGACGGUGCCUUUAGUAUUUCUGUUGUAUGGCUUUGUAAGAUUUUGUGAGAAUAAUGAUAAAGUGGCCGUAUGCAUCGCCCAGAUGCAGAGGCCGGGGGUCAUCCUCCUUUUCUAAAAAAAAAUGACGACUCAGUUUCCCAAAAAUAUUUCCUUUUCUUGGUGCUGGUUUAGUACAACUCACUCAUAUUACUUGUCGCGGACUAGUUUGAUUGAUUUCUACGUCCACACUCACUUAUUUUAAUUAAUCUGGUGUUGCAGCUACAUGGAGUCCUAUGCAGUUUACGCACACGCCUCCUAAAUUUCCAUACUCUUCUACGGUCGGCCGCGCCUUGCAGAUCUACUCUAUCAAAAUCGUCAACCUCAAUCCCAAUCUAGACUGGCCCCUCCAUGUCUACGGCGUGGUUGCCGCACGAGACUGCUUUGACCACAACCGCAACAUUCUCUUCCACGGGUCCGAGGCUAACUGCCAACGAGUCACCCAAGAUGUAUGUACAGUGUCAAUCUAAUUUUUGAUUAGUCUGUUCCUAAUAAGUAUAGUAGAAUAAUGAUGAUGCUGCUUGCAGGACCCUUUUCUGCACUUGAUUGGCCCGUCACGUGCAAUUGUGGCCCAAGAUCGUGUUAUGUUUGAAGUCCAACUAAAAAUGAAGUACGGAGCAGAGUCUAAAGAUACAGCAUUGUUCACUUCCAGCUAUAGUUACGCCUUUGACAGGCGGUGUUCCACCAUUCUGAUCUACAGCCGUUGUUGUAUGGCAGAGUUAAGCCUCGAGGGGCUUACUCAAGCAAUCCAGGCCACCAUUGUUGGUGUUCGCGUCGUCAAAGGAAAGUGGCCUUGUAAGUAUGGAUGCCGAGUUUCUUGCUCCUUGUCCCCUAUUGAAGAGGCUAUUGAUUCCACGCCGAUGGAAGUUGUGCUGCUUGAAUCUCGCGGCAAAGAAAUGCCUGCACGUUCAGAUGGUUACAUUCAUUUAUCAAGGAAUGUGGUUUCGGUGGAUAUACAUACUACAUUGAAAGUUUGCAUACAAGCUUACUCGAAUGCUGGUUCCACUCCUCUACAGGGUCAUGUGAACUUUCCUGUACAGGAAUGCCAAGUAAGCAAGCGGAAAUGCUUACUUGGCAACUCUAGGGUGGUGGAGAUCAUUGUUGCUUGGUCCCUCCUUCCCAUGGACGAGCUUGGCUAGUACCGGAGGGAUAUUGUACCCUGAUCGAUGUAGAGUGUUGUUGCAGAAUUUUGGUGAAGCAUAUUUUAGAGUGUAGAUUCACUCGUUUUGCUCUGUAUGUAGUCCGUUUGGAAUCUCUAGAAAAACUUAUAUUUAGGAACGGAGGGAGUACAGCUUUAGCAAAUUAACAAGUCUAAUAACUACUGUACUGAAGCAAAUUCUAAAAUUAACAAGUCUAGUAACUACUCUACUGAAGCAAAUUUACCCUAGCGCCCCCUAAUAUUAUGUAUUUGAUGCUAAUUAGCUAAAGAACAGUGCCAAAUUAGUGCUGAUUACCCACCACUAUCUACCCCUAACCCUAGUGGACGGGGCAGGACGCUUACCCUGGGCGGCAACUCUUGACGAAGCGAUGGCAGAAGCGGCGGUGGGUGGAGGAAGCGGCGGCGUGGACGGUAGACAACAUGUACGGCGGCGGCUCCAGUGGCCGAGGAUGCCUUCGGCCAGGGAAUCAUUCGGGCGGGGAGUUGGCAAGAGAGAGUGAGGCGAGGAAGAAACUGGGAAAUUGAAUAAGGUGAGGACUAAAUUUGGCAUGGUACGUGUCUUCAUUACACCCUUGUAGGGUGUGGUAAAAAAAUUGAAAGCGUUAUGGUAAAAAUUUGAUGUAACUCAUGUGCAAACCGGACACUCUCAAACGAGGUGUCAGGGUUUGGAACAUAAACCACCGCCUUCCACGUGCUACUCCAUUUAUUUAAAUCAUUUGGACUUCAAAUAUUUUUCAUUAGUAAUAAACACCAUACAAAACCUCAUGAUCAAAUUUGGGACUACUCUAGGAUUUAAUAAAUGUGUGACUGCCCGCCACUUCUAACUUUUGCAAAUUUUGUAUUUUUUGUCACGGGUUACUGAAAUAUUGCUGUGGCGGCCACAAGUUUUGCCCGCCACUGUUGCGGCACUAACUAAUACUUGCUUUGAGCAUCUGGGCAAAUUUGAAAGAGCUUCGCGGAUGGGUAUUUUUGCCCACCACUAUUGUCGUGAUUGCAGUGGCGGGGCAUUUUUGUACCCGCCAUUGCUACUUUUCCAAAAUAGAAGUGGCGGUUUGAGUGAAGCAUUUUGGUGCCCAGACUCAUCUACAUCCGGUCAAAAAAAAUCAAAACAAAUACUAGAAACUUUUUUUAAAAAAUCCAAUUUUUUUGCAUGGUAGAAAUUUUGUUGCGGAGGUCCAGUUAAAGAGAUGGUGAACAUGGAUGUGUGAGUAUGUGCAUCCUAUUUUACUUGUCGGUUCACUCUCCAUACUGAUCUCUGAACCCAAACUCUGGUUAAAAAACUAGAUUUUAUAAUCCUUACUUUCCAAUACAUAUCUAGGCAAACCUACUGUGUUUCUGACUAACAAGUUGCAUGGUUGGCGUGACGAAGCUAUUGUUAUGGCUUAUUGUAUGCCAACUUUUCUUUUGGAUUUAUUACUUUAGUCCAGUCUUGCAGAACAAAAACAGGUAAGGUGCAUAUAAUUUGAUUGACUUUAUUUGAUGUUUCAAUGAACCACGCAUCGCUCUAUGUUGUUAGAAUGAGCAGGAGCAACAACGGCAUGAGGAAACAUGGGUUUACCUUUUAAAGGAGGUCUCUGAAAUUUCAGAGGGUUGUGGGAUAUGAAUCGUUCCUGGAUAAGGAGAAGAGUGAGGAAGGAUCUGCAAGUGCGCCAUUGUGCCACUGUAUUUUAUUGAUGUAGGUGUUGAUUUUCGUUUGCAAGAUUCUAUAUUGGUGUUUAUCCUUUGCUCCCUAGAAUUAUAUAUUAAUUAUGAUUUGUUUCAGUUUCGUGCAGACUUUAUAUAUGAUAGAUUGAUAAGGAUGCCUCACAAGGGGGAAAGAACUGUAUAUUUGUGAGGUUCCUGAUCCACAUAGUCUAUUCCAUAUGGACCUAUGAAACCUGAUUUUUAAUUCACAAAGCCAGUUUUGGGGGAAAAACCCGGCAUAGCUGCGAGAAGAUGGCAUAUAUCCUGUUCACUUUGUUCUAAUAUCUGUGGUAAGUUGCCCAGAGUUUUCCUAUCUUGCAUUACUUAUGAAAGAGCUCUGCAUGUUGUGGCUAAUAUUUGGCACAAUAUUUAACAAAUUUCUGGUCUAUGUUUCUGCGUAAUAUGAGCACUCUAUUUUCCCUGUACAUCCAACUCCGCCCCCUUUGGUUACGGUUCUCUCCUACACUCACAGCUGAAACUUGACAAUUUGAACCCUUGAUUGAUGCAAGAGAUUAAAGAUACAACUCAUGGAAUCUGGCAAAUUAGAAAAGGUCAAAAGUCAUUUUUAUUUGAAAAGUGGACACUCAACUUUUUUAUUUAACUGACUCUGAACGUCCAAGUUAUUUGUUUUCUUCUACUAUGGACUUUAUUGCCGCAUUAUCAUAUAUUUUUGUACGAGAUGCUGGAUUAUCAUUUAUAUGCUUGCAUAUUAUAUUGGCGCUUAAUAAUGCCACUGACGACCAAGUGCUGCAUAUGUAUUUCUCUUUAUAGUAAAAUGUAACACAUACAACUAUGAUGAACACAUUCUUUUCAGUAUUUACAUUGACAUUAUUUUGUCACUGGGACAGUUUUAUUGUCACAUAUAAUGAUGCUUAUGAAUCUGUUCAUGUCUUUUCGAGUUUUAGAUGUGUAUAUACUGCCAACCCUUGCUUGUUCUUUCAGACUAGGCUUACCAGGCUACAACGAGGUCACCUCAGUUGAUUUCAGUGACCCAAAGUGGCGCUAGCUCGGGCGCAACAGCAAAAAGUUCCUGGAAAUUUGGAAAGAGGAGGGUGGCUUUCCAAGUAAUGCAUUGCGUACUUGAUUCUAAGGUACCUAGCAGAUUCACUUCAUUCUUUACUUGAUCUUUCAUCUCCUGGGAUAACCAUGGCCCAUGGGCAUGGAUGCUUGUGCCGCUGGUGUUGCACAAAUACCAAACGACAUAAUGUCGUGUGCAUAUCACUGCUCUUUAUGGGAAUGUGGUGGCAUGUGAGAGGAUAAGCAGGUGUUUGGCCAUUUACGAAUUGCCGGAACAUUGAGGGUGUCUAGCAUGAAACUUUUUGUUUAUAUACGAUCAUGUGCUAAAUGUUCAUUUCAGCACUCUCUCUUUAUAAAUGAAACUGUUUUGUACUCCCUCAGUCCCAAAACAAGUGUCUCAACUUUGCACUAAUUUUAGCACAAAGUUGUAUUAAACUUGAGACACUUAUUUGAGACGGAGGGAGUAUAUUGCAAUAACUAUACAAUUGCUCUGCCUCUACAACAACAUAUCACUGUUAUUUAUGACAAACUCAAGCUGAUAUGAAGAUUUUAAUAUGGCGAAUUUAGCUUAGGAAAAAACAUGGACGAAACUGUGAAAACGUGGUAAAGUUGGAACUUGGAGGUGAUCAAAUCAUAUGGUUUGGGCUGUAAGAGUGUAGACUAAGCAUUACAUAUUUCUCGGCUCUAGAUUUUGAGUUUGUAUUUUAAAAUUUCUCUGACGUGGCAUGAAGUUCAUAAUUUGUGCAGUUAAUAUAUAUCUUCUGUAUAUCCUUUUUCCUUUUGGUUUGGGGCCAGUAUAUGCAGUUUGAGAGUUAUUUAUUAUUAGAAAAAUAAGAUUGUGUUCUUCUAUUUCACCAUAGUUCAUGUUUACAUAAUUUGAGAUGUACUUAACUUAUAUUUCCUUUUUGACUGACUAAUUGUCAACGAAGGAGAUCAAAAUCCCUAUAGAAACUAAGGAGAUCAUACGAAUAUUUUGAAAUAAAAAUAUAAUAUGUGGAAAUACAAGAUUUUACAAAGCACUAGUAGAAGAAGGGCCUAUUGUCCCGGUUGGUAAGGGCCUUUAGUCCCGGUUGGUGAACCGGGACUAAAGGGUCGGUACUAAUGCCUCCCCCCUUUAGUCCCGGUUCAAUCCAGAACCGGGACUAAAGGCCGCGGCCACGUGGAGCCUUUAACAAUCCACCUUUAGUCCCGGUUUGUAACACCAACCGGGACUAAUGGAAAUUUUAUGAUUUUUUUUUGAAAUUUUUUUUGAAAUUUUUUAUUUUCAAAUUUCUGAAUUAUUUUAACCCCUCAUUAGUGAAUCUCUAAUCAGCACCCCUCAUCACUGCUCAAUUUAUCCUCUUCUCUAAUCACCCUCAUCAUUCCAAAUCACCUAACUUCCCGAACGGUCACCCAUCCUCCCACUCACCCAGCCUGAGCACGCUUAACUUUCGGGUUCUAUUCUCCCUCGUUUCCAAGUCUGCACUUGUUGUUUUCCUGACAAUAGUAAGAUGUUAAUCCUAUUAACCCUCAGGAAUUUUGCUUGAGCAUGAAUUGACACAUUUCACUGUUUGAGUUUCAAACUAUUGUUUUCAAAAACAAUAAUUAUUUAGAAAACAAUAGUUAUUUUGAAUAAUUAGUUUGACCAGGGUUUGACCAUAGUUUGACCACACUUUGACUACAGUUUGACCAGAUUUGACCAAAAUUCAAAAUAACUGAACAAAUUAGUUAUUAAUAUUCUAGAAUAAUUAGUUUGACCAUGGUUUGACCACAGUUUGUCAUUUUUCCGAUUUUUUCCACUCUAGAUAUUAAAAGCCCCGUAUCUUUUUUUCUGUUAGGUUUUUGAGGAUUUUGAAAAUGUUUAACGGGGUUCCAGUUGCUAAAAUUUGGAUGUAAUUUUUCGAGUAGAUGAUUUUUCAUAUAAAAAACUUUUUCAUCCGAGUUAGUAUGCAAAAGUUAUGCCCAUAUUUACAAAUUCCAGAGAGAUUUUGCAAAUAAAGUCGAAAUUCACAUUUGCAAAUUUCCCCAACAACUAGACCACAUAUCACAUGGGAAACUUAUUUUCUUUAAUUUUUUUGACAUUUCCAUCAUUUUCUUUUAUUUUUUUUAAAAUUGAAAAGGCGAUNNNNNNNNNNNNNNNNNNNNNNNNNNNNNNNNNNNNNNNNNNNNNNNNNNNNNNNNNNNNNNNNNNNNNNNNNNNNNNNNNNNNNNNNNNNNNNNNNNNNNNNNNNNNNNNNNNNNNNNNNNNNNNNNNNNNNNNNNNNNNNNNNNNNNNNNNNNNNNNNNNNNNNNNNNNNNNNNNNNNNNNNNNNNNNNNNNNNNNNNNNNNNNNNNNNNNNNNNNNNNNNNNNNNNNNNNNNNNNNNNNNNNNNNNNNNNNNNNNNNNNNNNNNNNNNNNNNNNNNNNNNNNNNNNNNNNNNNNNNNNNNNNNNNNNNNNNNNNNNNNNNNNNNNNNNNNNNNNNNNNNNNNNNNNNNNNNNNNNNNNNNNNNNNNNNNNNNNNNNNNNNNNNNNNNNNNNNNNNNAAAGGCGAUCCACGGGGGGGGGCGGGGGGGUAGAGUUUGAAAAUGGGACCUUUAGUACCGGUUCGUGGCACGAACCGGGACUAAAGGUCUCAACCCCAUUAGUCCCGGUUCGUGCCUCAAACCGGGACUAAAGGUCUACUCUUUAGUCCCGGUUUGAGGCAUGAACCGGGACUAAUGGGCAUCGCACCCUUUAGUCCCGGUUUGAGGCACAAACCGGGACUAAAGGGCACAUGUGAACCGGGACUAAUGCCUUAGCCGCACGAACCGGGAUAAAUGCUCGCAUUAGUCCCGGUUCUGGAUUGAACCGGGACUAAUGGGCUAAACAGGCCUGGACGAAAGCCCUGUUUUCUACUAGUGAAGGGAGCUCACACUUGAUGUCAAUAAUGAAAACGGAGGGGGUGAAGGGUAAAGACAAAGAUGGUUUAGUUCAUAAUCAGUUGCAUAUAUAAUAGAUAAAAGUAUGUUUUUGGUCCCUCAAGUUCCCACAAAGUAUAGACUUGGUCCCUCAAGAUUUUUUGGUAUGCAUUUGGUCCCUCAAGUAUCAAAACUGGAUAAGUUUGGUCAUAAACCAGAUUUUGAGCAUGUUGACCGGGUUUGACCGCCACAAAACCGCCUGAUAAACCGUAAAUAUGAAAAAGAACUUCGAAAAAAUGACAAAAUUUUGCUAGAGCCCGUCCAAUGUCAUUUCAUGACAAAAUUUUGGUCGCACCUUGCGCACGUAAGCAUAUUGGACCCCAAAAAUUUUCAGAAUUUUUUGAUUAUUUUUGAAUUUACUAUUCAUCAGCCAGUUUUUUUUCUUUUGCCACGAGCUCCUCGAGUGCCGAAAGAGCCCGAAUUUUUGUUUGCAUAUUCCGCAUGUAAGCAUAUUUGACCCCAAAAAAUUUAAGGUUUGUUUUAUGUUCUUUUUUCGAAUUUACUGUUCAUCAGGCGGAUUUGUGGCGGUCAAAACCGGUCAACAUGCUCAAAAUCUGGUUUAGGACCAAACUUAUCCGGUUUUAAGAUUUGAGGGACCAAAUGUAUACCAAAAAAAUCUUGAGGGACCAACUCUAUACUUUGUGGGAACUUGAGGGACCAAAAACAUACUUUUCUCUAUAUAAUAUACUAUAGUAACCUAUAUUCAUGCACUUUUCAGAUGAAUAAUUAAUUGAACUUAGUUUGAGCUCUUAUGUUGUUGAAUGAGUUUGAGAGAGAGAGAGAGAGAGAGAGAGAGAGGACGGGUAGGGAGAGAGAUUUCUUUCGUGGUACUGGGGGUAGCGUGUUCUGAAUUUACCUGUUGCUCAGCUAUGUUUCAGUAUGUGAAGGGUUAUCCUUAGUAAAUUAUGCUUUUAGCAUUUUAUAUUUAGUUCUUCCACAUCUCAUUGUUGCCCUGUUUGUUAGACUCUUAGGGGCAAUAAAGGGUAUCAAUACCACACCUGCGGCGCAAAAAGAAGCAGGUGAUAGGGAAUACUUGUGACUCUAUGAAUAAAAAACAUAUCCUGUCAAGUUCAAUACACAUUAUUGAUUAGAACAUUGAGUGUGUAUAAAAUUGUUUUUGUCCCGUGGCAACGCUGGUUGUAUCCAUGCAGUAUUAACCAAAUAUCUAUAUUUCAUAUGGUUUUCCCAUUUUGAAUGUUAUCACCUUAAGUUCUCGUAUUUAGCAUGCAAUUGCACAUAUCUUCAAGGAGUCAUGAUUCGCUCUCUUUUUAACAUCUACAACUAAGAGGAUGUGGCCUCGUAUUGACGCGUAUUCACGCGUGCCGCGCACUGUGCUCCGGCAGUGAGUGGCCUCGGGUGCCGCCGGUUGCGCCGCACGCCCGAGGGCGCUGCAGACCGCCGGCUUCCGCACCAUGCCUGAGGGCGUUGUAUCCAUAGCCGCGCAUGCCGGAGAGCACCGGCGCCGUGCAGUUCGAGUGACGCAUCCUUGCUGGCGCCUUGUCGAGCUGGAGGAUGUCGUCGUUGUGCAUCGGCCGUUGGUCGCCUUUGUUGUACCGCACCGCGGUUGCUGCAUGCGCUGCCUUUCUGCGAGGAUGCAGGCCGAGAGCCACGUCGAGCGCCAUUCUUCCUGGAUAAAAGGCCGCAUCAUGGAGGCCCGGGUUGAGGUCCGUCGCGAGACGUGGGGAUCCGCACCGGGAGGAGUCAGACUGGCGGCGCCGCAUGCCUGAGGGCACUGCACCGCCGGGUAUAACGCGAUGCAUCAAGGAGGGCAGAAAUCUUGCUGCCUCUCGGGCAUCAAGGACGUCGCCGGUGACGGAUUGAUGUGCACGGGCGCCGUUGGCGCUGCCUAGUGGCCUAAUCGCUCCCUCUAGGUUAGGGCAAAGGGCUGAUAACGUGUUUAGAGAGAAACAAGAGAGAGGGAGCAAAUGAUGGAACAGUUGUUUCAUUGAGUGAACAUUGGGGUAUUUAUACCCUCGUUACGAGGCGGUUACAAAGGAGGCGGUUGCCAAACAUGGCCACCGACAUUAGCAUGGAUUAAUAAUUAAUUAAUCUAAUUAAUUAAUUCCUAACAGUCAGAAGAAGUAAAAUGCCACACCAGUUGAACGCCAACAUAUCUCUACUAUUAAAGGGGGAUCAAACGUCGUGAUGGUUCGACCUCCUUCGAUCCCCACCUCGCUUCGUGCGAUGAGGCACGUCCGCAGAAAAAAAAUCACAGAAAAACCUCGCACUCCAAAGCAGGGAAAACCAGAAGAUAAAAACCCUGCACAUCCUCCACUUCUCCCACGAUCUCCAUCGGCGGAUCUCUCUCCUGAACCACCCGGCCAGCAACCCUGCACUCUCCCUCUCAUGCGCCGCGUAUCUCAUCUAGGCCUUGACCUCAACUCGCCCUCUCCGCUGCUCGUGGCUCCUGUGGAUGGCUGCGGGCGUCAGGUGACCGGAAGAGCGCCCUUGGAGGUGGUGGUGGUAUUGGCCUUGUCCUACGAGGAUAGGUCUUUCUUGGAUGAUGGCCUCAAUGACGGCCCAGCACAUGGUGUCGUGGCCUCGCAGAAGUGUGCGUCAACGGCAUCGGCGACUCGGGGUAGCCCGGCCACACAACCGUUGAUCAGGGUGGCGACGACGGCUUCAUCAUGGGACAUCGACCGAUCUAGCAAUGAGAGCAUGGGCCGUCGCCGGUGGUGAGGACAAGCUCGAAAGAGCCACUGUGACUCUGGGAGGACCUUGUUCAGCAACACUCCUCUGACAACGGCAGGUUGGAGAUAUUUGAGAUGUGUCCUCUCUGCCUCCAAGAAAGAUUUUGCGAUGUGCUUCUUGGUAAUUCCCUCUCCCGCCUCCAAGAAAGAUUUUGUGAUGUGCUUCUUGGUGAUUCCGUAUGUGAUUGUUUGUUUUGCAAUAUAUUCGGCACUGUUAUUUGUUCAUGUUGUUAGUUGCCAAUUUGAGACGUGGGCAAAAGAACAGCGGUGAUGCACGACCCUACAGCGCCACACGUUGUCGGUCAAGUAGGCGCAACAGUGGCUGCUCCACCAUGGAAUCAAAUGAGUGACGUCUUUUGCCCCUUUCCAAAUUCUGGUAUCUUCCACUUCUAUAGAAUCAGUAAGGGUGCACCAGCUGUUCUUACUUGUUACUCAAAUGUUUGAAUCAGUAAGGGUGCAACAGCUGUUCUAUACAUUAGUUCAUCCAUCUAAUAUAGAACCAAUACUUUAUAAUCCCCCUCAUAUCCCACUCUUUUGAUCACACAAUCAGUAGAAAUUCUCUUCGGACGUAUCUUGCCAAACUGACCUCAUAAAUUCCAGACAAAAACUGUACUGGCCACAAUUGUAAAUUCGGAAAACGAGAAGAAAAUAAACAUGCUGAUACGGCAGUUAGGACAGAGAGUUAUGUUGGGGAACGUAGUAAUUUUAAAAAAAUUCCUGCGCACACGCAAGAUCAUGGUGAUGCAUAGCAACGAGGGGAGAGUGUGAUCUACGUACCCUUGUAGACCGACAGUGGAAGCGUUAUGACAACGCGGUUGAUGUAGUCGUACGUCUUCACGGCCCGACCGAUCAAGCACCGAAACUACGGCACCUCCGAGCUUUAGCACACGUUAAGCUCGAUGACGAUCCCCGGACUCUGAUCCACCAAAGUGUCGGGGAAGAGUUCCGUCAGCACGACGGCGUGGUGACGAUCUUGAUGUACUACUGUCGUAGGGCUUCGCCUAAGCACCGCUACAAUGUUAUCGAGGACUAUGGUGGCAGGGGGCGCCGCACACGGCUAAGAAUAUGAUCACGUGGAUCAACUUGUGUGUUUCUGGGGUGCCCCUGCCUCCGUAUAUAAAGGUUCAAGAGAGGAGGAGGUCGGCCGGCCCCUAUGGCGCGCCAAGGAGGAGUCCUCCUCCUAGUAGGAGUAGGACUCCUACUAGGAGGGGGAAAGAAGUGGGGAGGGAGAAGGAAAGGGGGGCGCCGCCCCCCCUCUCCUAGUCCAAUUCGGACCAGGGGGGGAGGAGGCGCGUGGCCCACCUUUGGCUGCCCCUCUCUCUCUCCACUAAGGCCCAUAUGGCCCAUUACUUCUCCCGGGGGGGUUCCGGUAACCCUCCGGCUUUCCGGUUUUCUCCGAAAUCACCCGGAACACUUUCGGUGUCCGAAUAUAGCCGUCCAAUAUAUCAAUCUUUAUGUCUCGACCAUUUCGAGACUCCUCGUCAUGUCCGUGAUCACAUCCGGGACUCCGAACAACCUUCGGUACAUCAAAACGUAUAAACUCAUAAUAUAACUGUCAUCGAAACCUUAAGCGUGCGGACCCUACGGAUUCGAGAACAAUGUAGACAUGACCGAGACAUGUCUCCGGUCAAUAACCAAUAGCGGGACCUGGAUGCCCAUAUUGGCUCCUACAUAUUCUACGAAGAUCUUUAUCGGUCAGACCGCAUAACAAUAUACGUUGUUCCCUUUCUCAUCGGUAUGUUACUUGCCCGAGAUUCAAUCGUCGGUAUCCAAUACCUAGUUCAAUCUCGUUACCGGCAAGUCUCUUUACUCGUUCUGUAAUACAUCAUCUUGCAACUAACUCAUUAGUUGCAUUGCUUGCAAGGCUUAAGUGAUGUGCAUUACCGAGAGGGCCCAGAGAUACCUCUCAGACGAUCAGAGUGACAAAUCCUAAUCUCGAAAUACGUCAACCCAACAUGUACCUUUGGAGACACCUGUAGAGUACCUUUAUAAUCACCCAGUUACGUUGUGACGUUUGGUAGCACACAAAGUGUUCCUCCGGCACACGGGAGUUACAUAAUCUCAUAGUCAUAGGAACAUGUAUAAGUCAUGAAGAAAGCAAUAGCAAAAUACUAAACGAUCGGAUGCUAAGCUAAUGGAAUGGGUCAUGUCAAUCAUAUCAUUCAACUAAUGAUGUGAUCCCGUUAAUCAAAUGACAACUCUUUGUCAAUGGUUAGGAAACAUAACCAUCUUUGAUUAACGAGCUAGUCAAGUAGAGGCAUACUAGUGACACUUUGUUUGUCUAUGUAUUCACACAUGUAUUAUGUUUCCGUUUAAUACAAUUCUAUCAUGAAUAAUAAACUUUUAUCAUGAUAUAAGGCAAUAAAUAAUAACUUUAUUAUUGCCUCUAGGGCAUAUUUCCUUCAGUCUCCCACUUGCACUAGAGUCAAUAAUCUAGAUUACACAGUAAUGAUUCUAACACCCAUGGAGCUUUGGUGCUGAUCAUGUUUUGCUCGUGGAAGAGGCUUAGUCAACGGGUCUGCUACAUUCAGCUCCGUAUGUAUCUUGCAAAUCUCUAUGUCUCCCACCUGGACUAGAUCCCGGAUGGAAUUGAAGCGUCUCUUGAUGUGCUUGGUUCUCUUGUGAAAUCUGGAUUCCUUUGCCAAGGCAAUUGCACCAGUAUUGUCACAAAAUAUUUUCAUUGGACCCGAUGCACUAGGUAUGACACCUAGAUCGGAUAUGAACUCUUUCAUCCAGACUCCUUCGUUUGCUGCUUCCGAAGCAGCUAUGUACUCUGCUUCAAAUGUAGAUCCCGCCACGACGCUUUGUUUUGAACUGCACCAACUGACAGCUCCACUGUUUAAUGUAAACACGUAUCCGGUUUGUGAUUUAGAAUUGUCCGGAUCAGUGUCAAAGCUUGCAUCAACGUAACCGUUUACAAUCCUCCAUAUACGUGAAACAUAUCCUUAGUCACCUCCAUAUACGUGAAACAUAUCCUUAGUCCUUUUCAGGUAUUUCAGGAUGUUCUUGACCGCUGUCCAGUGAUCCACUCCUAGAUUACUUUGGUACCUCCCUGCUAAACUUAUAGCAAGGCACACAUCAGGUCUGGUACACAGCAUUGCAUAUAUGAUAGAGCCUAUGGCUGAAGCAUAGGGAACAUCUUUCAUUUUCUCUCUAUCUUCUGCAGUGGUCGGGCAUUGAGUCUGACUCAACUUCACACCUUGUAACACAGGCAAGAACCCUUUCUUUGCUUGAUCCAUUUCGAACUUCUUCAAAAUCUUGUCAAGGUAUGUGCUUUGUGAAAGUCCAAUUAAGUGUCUUGAUCUAUCUCUAUAGAUCUUUAUGCCUAAUAUGUAAGCAGCUUCACCGAGGUCUCUCAUUGAAAAACUCUUAUUCAAGUAUCCCUUUAUGCUAUCCAGAAAUUCUAUAUCAUUUCCAAUCAGUAAUAUGUCAUCUACAUAUAAUAUCAGAAAUGCUACAGAGCUCCCACUCACUUUCUUGUAAAUACAGGCUUCUCCGAAAGUCUGUAUAAAACCAAAUGCUUUGAUCACACUAUCAAAGCGUUUAUUCCAACUCCGAGAGGCUUGCACCAGUCCAUAAAUGGAUCGCUGGAGCUUGCACACUUUGUUAGCUCCUUUUGGAUUGAAAAAACCUUCCGGUUGCAUCAUAUACAACUCUUCUUCCAGAAAUCCAUUCAGGAAUGCAGUUUUGACAUCCAUCUGCCAAAUUUCAUAAUCAUAAAAUGCGGCAAUUGCUAACAUGAUUCGGGCAGACUUAAGCAUCGCUACGGGUGAGAAGGUCUCAUCGUAGUCAACCCCUUGAACUUGUUGAAAACCUUUUGCGACAAGUCGAGCUUUGUAGACAGUAAUAUUACCGUCAGCGUCAGUCUUCUUCUUGAAAAUCCAUUUAUUCUCAAUUGCUUGUCGAUCAUCGGGCAAGUCAACCAAAGUCCAUACUUUGUUCUCAUACAUGGAUCCCAUCUCAGAUUUCAUGGCUUCAAGCCAUUUUGCGGAAUCUGGGCUCACCAUCGCUUCUUCAUAGUUCGUAGGUUCAUCAUGAUUUAGCAGCAUGAUUUCCAGAACAGGAUUACCAUACCACUCUGGCGCGGAUCUCACUCUGGUUGAUCUACGAGGUUCAGUAGUAUCUUGUCCUAAAGUUUCAUGAUCAUUAUCAUUAGCUUCCUCACUAAUUGGUGUAGGUGUCGCAGAAACAGUUUUCUGUGAUGUACUACUUUCCAAUAAGGGAGCAGGUACAGUUACUUAAUCAAGUUCUACUUUCCUCCCACUCACAUCUUUCGAGAGAAACUCCUUCUCCAGAAAGUUUCCGAAUUUAGCAACAAAAGUCUUGCCUUCGGAUCUGUGAUAGAAGGUGUAUCCAAUAGUUUCCUUUGGAUAUCCUAUGAAGACACAUUUCUCCGAUUUGGAUUCGAGCUUAUCAGGUUGAAGCUUUUUCACAUAAGCAUCGCAGCCCCAAACUUUCAGAAACGACAACUUUGGUUUCUUGCCAAACCAUAGUUCAUAAGGUGUCGUCUCAACGGAUUUCGAUGGUGCCCUAUUUAACGUGAAUGCGGCCGUCUCUAAAGCAUAACCCCAAAACGAUAGCGGUAAAUUAGUAAGAGACAUCAUAGAUCGUACCAUAUCUAGUAAAGUACGAUUACGACAUUUAGACACACCAUUACGCUGUGGUGUUCCGGGUGGCGUGAGUUGCGAAACUAUUCCGCAUUGCUUCAAAUGUACACCAAACUCGUAACUCAAAUAUUCUCCUCCACGAUCAGAUCGUAGAAACUUUAUUUUCUUGUUACGAUGAUUUUCAACUUCACUCUGAAAUUCUUUGAACUUUUCAAAUGUUUUAGAUUUAUGUUUCAUUAAGUAGAUAUACCCAUAUCUGCUUAAGUCAUCUGUGAAGGUGAGAAAAUAACAAUAUCCGCCACGAGCCUCAAUAUUCAUUGGACCACAUACAUCUGUAUGUAUGAUUUCCAACAAAUCUGUUGCUCUCUCCAUUGUACCGGAGAAGGGUGUUUUACUCAUCUUGCCCAUGAGGCAUGGUUCGCAAGUACCAAGUGAUUCAUAAUCAAGUGGCUCCAAAAGUCCAUCAGUAUGGAGUUUCUUCAUGCGCUUUACACCGAUAUGACCUAAACGGCAGUGCCACAAGUAAGUUGCACCAUCAUUAUCAACUCUGCAUCUUUUGGUUUCAACAUUAUGAAUAUGUGUAUCACUACUAUCGAGAUUUAAUAAGAAUAGACCACUCUUCAAGGGUGCAUGACCAUAAAAGUUAUUACUCAUAUAAAUAGAACAACCAUUAUUCUCUGAUUUAAAUGAAUAACCGUCUCACAUUAAACAAGAUCCAGAUAUAAUGUUCAUGCUCAACGCUGGCACUAAAUAACAAUUAUUUAGGUCUAAUACUAAUCCCGAAGGUAGAUGUAGAGGUUGCGUGCCGACCGCGAUCACAUCGACUUUGGAACCGUUUCCCACGCGCAUCGUCACCUCGUCCUUAGCCAAUCUUCGCUUAAUCCGUAGUCCCUGUUUCGAGUUGCAAAUAUUAGCAACAGAACCAGUAUCAAAUACCCAGGUGCUACUACGAGCAUUAGUAAGGUACACAUCAAUAACAUGUAUAUCACAUAUACCUUUGUUCACCUUGCCAUCCUUCUUAUCCGCCAAAUACUUGGGGCAGUUCCACUUCCAGUGACCAGUCUGCUUGCAGUAGAAGCAGUCAGUUUCAGGCUUAGGUCCAGACUUGGGUUUCUUCUCUUGAGCAGCAACUUGCUUGCCAUUUUUCUUGAAGUUCCCCUUCUUCUUCCCUUUGCCCUUUUUCUUGAAACUAGUGGUCUUGUUGAUCAUCAAUACUUGAUGCUCCUUUUUGAUUUCUACCUCCGCAGCUUUCAGCAUUGCGAAGAGCUCGGGAAUAGUCUUGUUCAUCCCUUGCAUAUUAUAGUUCAUCACGAAGCUCUUGUAGCUUGGUGGCAGUGAUUGGAGAAUUCUGUGAAUGACGCAAUCAUCUGGAAGAUUAACUCCCAUCUGAAUCAAGUGAUUAUUAUACCCAGACAUUUUGAGUAUAUGCUCACUAACAGAACUGUUCUCCUCCAUCUUGCAGCUAUAGAACUUAUUGGAGACUUCAUAUCUCUCAAUUCGGGCAUUUGCUUGAAAUAUUAACUUCAACUCCUGGAACAUCUCAUAUGCUCCAUGACGUUCAAAACGUCGUUGAAGUCCCGGCUCUAAGCCGUAAAGCAUGGCACACUGAACUAUCGAGUAGUCAUCAGCUUUGCUCUGCCAGACGUUCAUAACAUCUGGUGUUGCUCCAGCAGCAGGCCUGGCACCCAGCGGUGCUUCCAGGACGUAAUUCUUCUGUGCAGCAAUGAGGAUAAUCCUCAAGUUACGGACCCAGUCCGUGUAAUUGCUACCAUCAUCUUUCAACUUUGCUUUCUCAAGGAACGCAUUAAAAUUCAACGGAACAACAACACGGGCCAUCUAUCUACAAUCAAACAUACAUAAGCAAGAUACUAUCAGGUACUAAGUUCAUGAUAAAUUUAAGUUCAAUUAAUCAAAUUACUUAAGAACUCCCACUUAGAUAGACAUCUCUCUAAUCCUCUAAGUGAUCACGCGAUCCAAAUCAACUAAACCAUGUCCGAUCAUCACGUGAGAUGGAGUAGUUUCAUUGGUGAACAUCACUAUGUUGAUCAUAUCUACUAUAUGAUUCACGCUCGACCUUUCGGUCUCCGUGUUCCGAGGCCAUAUCUGUAUAUGCUUGGCUCGUCAAGUAUAACCUGAGUAUUCCGCGUGUGCAACUGUUUUGCACCCGUUGUAUUUGAACGUAGAGCCUAUCACACCCAAUCAUCACGUGGUGUCUCAGCACGAAGAACUUUCGCAACGGUGCAUACUCAGGGAGAAAACUUCUUGAUAAUUUUAGUGAGAGAUCAUCUUAUAAUGCUACCGUCAAUCAAAGCAAGAUAAGAUGCAUAAAAGAUAAACAUCACAUGCAAUCAAUAUAAGUGAUAUGAUAUGGCCAUCAUCAUCUUGUGCCUGUGAUCUCCAUCUCCGAAGCACCGUCAUGAUCACCAUCAUCACCGGCACGACACUUUGAUCUCCAUCGUAGCAUCGUUGUCGUCUCGCCAAUAUUAUGCUUCCACGACUAUCGCUACCGUUUAGUGAUAAAGUAAAGCAUUACUGCGCGAUUGCAUUGCAUACAAUAAAGCGACAACCAUAUGGCUCCUGCCAGUUGUCGAUAACUCGGUUACAAAACACGAUCAUCUCAUACAAUAAAAUCAUCAUCAUGUCUUGACCAUAUCACAUCACAACAUGCCCUGCAAAAACAAGUUAGACGUCCUCUACUUUGUUGUUGCAAUUUUUACGUGGCUACUAUGGGCUUAAGCAAGAACCAAUCUUACCUACGCAUCAAAACCACAACGAUAGUUUGUCAAGUUGGUGCUGUUUUAACCUUCGCAAGGACCGGGUGUAGCCACACUCGGUUCAACUAAAGUUGGAGAAACUGUCACCCGCAAGCCACCUAUGUGCAAAGCACGUUGGGAGAACCGGUCUCGCGUAAGCGUACGCGUAAUGUCGGUCCGGGCCGCUUCGUCCAACAAUACCGCCGAACCAAAGUAUGACAUGCUGGUAAGCAGUAUGACUUAUAUCGCCCACAACUCACUUGUGUUCUACUCGUGCAUAUAACAUCAACACAUAAAACCUAGGCUCGGAUGCCACUGUUGGGGAACGUAGUAAUUUCAAAAAAUUUCCUACGCACACGCAAGAUCAUGGUGAUGCAUAGCAACGAGGGGAGAGUGUGAUCUACGUACCCUUGUAGACCGACAGCGGAAGCGUUAUGACAACGCGGUUGAUGUAGUCAUACGUCUUCAUGGCUCGACCGAUCAAGCACCGAAACUACGGCACCUCUGAGUUUUAGCACACGUUCAGCUCGAUGACGAUCCACGGACUCCGAUCCAGCAAAGUGUUGGGGAAGAGUUCCGUCAGCACGACGGCGUGGUGACGAUCUUGAUGUACUACUGUCGCAGGGCUUCGCCUAAGCACCGCUACAAUAUUAUCGAGGACUAUGGUGGCAGGGGGCACCGCACACGGCUAAGAAUAUGAUCACGUGGAUCAACUUGUGUGUUUCUGGGGUGCCCCUGCCUCAGUGUAUAAAGGUUCAAGAGAGGAGGAGGCCGGUCGGACCCUAUGGCGCGCCAAGGAGGAGUCCUCCUCCUAGUAGGAGUAGCCGCCCCCCUCUCCUAGUCCAAUUCGGACCAGGGGGGGAGGAGGCGCGCGGCCCACCUUUGGCUGCCCCUCUCUCUCCACUAAGGCCCAUAUGGCCAUUACUUCUCCCUGCGGGGUUCCGGUAACCCUCCGGCUUUCCGGUUUUCUCCGAAAUCACCCGGAACACUUCCGGUGUCUGAAUAUAGCUGUCCAAUAUAUCAAUCUUUAUGUCUCGACCAUUUCGAGACUCCUCGUCAUGUCCGUGAUCACAUCCGGGACUCCGAACAACCUUCGGUACAUCAAAACGUAUAAACUCAUAAUAUAAUUGUCAUCGAAACCUUAAGCGUGCAGACCCUACGGGUUCGAGAACAAUGUAGACAUGACCGAGAAAUGUCUCCGGUCAAUAACCAAUAGCGGGACCUGGAUGCCCAUAUUGGCUCCUACAUAUUCUAUGAAGAUCUUUAUCGGUCAGACCGCAUAACAACAUACGUUGUUCCCUUUGUCAUCGGUAUGUUACUUGCCCGAGAUUCGAUCGUCGGUAUCCAAUACCUAGUUCAAUCACGUUACCGGCAAGUCUCUUUACUCGUUCUGGAAUACAUCAUCUCGCAACUAACUCAUUAGUUGCAUUGCUUGCAAGGCUUAAGUGAUGUGCAUUACCGAGAGGGCCCAGAGAUACCUCUCAGAUGAUCGGAGUGACAAAUCCUAAUCUCGAAAUACGUCAACCCAACAUGUACCUUUGGAGACACCUGUAGAGUACCUUUAUAAUCACCCAGUUACGUUGUGACGUUUGGUAAUACACAAAGUGUUCCUCCGGCACACGGGAGUUACAUAAUCUCAUAGUCAUAGGAACAUGUAUAAGUCAUGAAGAAAGCAAUAGCAACAUACUAAACGAUCGAAUGCUAAGCUAAUGGAAUGGGUCAUGUCAAUCAGAUCAUUCAACUAAUGAUGCGAUCCCGUUAAUCAAAUGACAACUCUUUGUCAAUGGUUAGGAAACAUAACAAUCUUUGAUUAACGAGCUAGUCAAGUAGAGACAUACUAGUGACACUUUGUUUGUCUAUGUAUUCACACAUGUAUUAUGUUUCCGGUUAAUACAAUUCUAGCAUGAAUAAUAAACUUUUAUCAUGAUAUAAGGAAAUAAAUAAUAACUUUAUUAUUGCCCCUAGGGCCUAUUUCCUUCAAGUUAUGCACAUGUUUCUUUACUUUUCGAGUACUUUUGCACCAUCAAUUAUCAGUUGUGAUCUCUCAGUUCUCUAAUGAAGUUGCUUGUUGAUUUUGGUUGUCGUUUCCAGUUUGCCCUGUCACCUUGCUAAUAAUGCAGUCAACUUUAUUUCGCUUUAAGCAUCAUCGAUCACUCAAUCCCCUUCUCUACUUUCAAUGUACAAGAGAGCUAGAGCGAUGAAAAUUCCCACAUUUUUUUUAUUUAUUCAUGUCUGUUUUUCUUGCUGUCAUUGUUAUGACAAUGACUAACAAUGACAGACUAAGAUGUGGUGAUGUAUUUUUUCAUCCAUGUUAACCACUAAUCCACAACUUAGCUAGAUAGAGGCAACCUCUGAAUCUUAUUUGUAGUUCUUUUAGGAUAAGUAUUUAAAUUGACAUGAAAAACACUAAUACCAUGGAAAAUUCGAAUUACCCCUGGCUUCAAUUGUGGUGCUCACCGUAUAUUGUUAUAUUUUUUCACAAGCAAUUCAUUGUCGUACAUAUUGUUCAUCAAUAAUCAAAAUUUGCAUAAAACAUGAGCCUGAUCGCGCCCAGCCUCACAGCCUCCAGAUAGGUGAACCGGGUCCCAUAGUGAGGUCAUUCUUCUCUAAUCUACUCUACUAAUUUUUUUCGGCGUAUAUAUAGCUCCUCUUCCUGUAUUUCCCUUUAUGGCAAUGUAUUCAUCUGUGUCUCUUGCCAUGAACCUAUCUGGCAAUCUUUGAUUAGUUAUUAGAUUUUCUACUAUCCUGCAUAAACCCUCUUUGAGAUGUUCUCCUGCAAUGACAAAUUACUAGGUUGUGCUCAUUUUAGAGUACAAGGGACUUUGUGCACUAAUGUGCUUCCUUUGUUUCCUGUGGGGUUGUAAGACAAAACAUGUAGCAAAUGCUGAUAAAUAAUAAUGUUGGUGUAAUUCCUUUCUCUGAAACAUAAAAAUGUACUUGUCAGGUUCUACAAACAAUAAAGCUUCUUAUUUUUUGCUAUACAAGCGCUUAUGUACCUUAUUCUUUUAUUAGCAUACAAAGGGAAAGCAUAAGGGAGAAGGGGAGUCCAUAAAGAAAGAACAAGAAGGUGGCCCUGAAAAAUAAGCAGCUGGAGAACACCAAGCUUAUUGUGGAAUUUCUAAACAAAAUGUUGUCAACACCUGAGAAAAUUGCUGGUGAGAACAUUAGGCAUGUUCUCCUUAUAGUUUUUAAAUGAACUUGUAUGUUUAUCUCUUUUUUCAUUCGAAUACUAGAUAAUAGAUAUUUGAGAAGGCUUAGUGCAAUUAAUCCCUUUAUCUUGCACUACUUUACACAUGGAUUCCAUUAUCGGAACAGGAGAUCCUAGCAAUAGAAAAUCAAGGGUGUGUACUAUAUUGUUGGCCAAAGGUUAAACAUAUGUACCUAUACUGAUUUCUUUAUAUUUAUAGCAUUUGAGAUGGUUGUCUUGCCAAUGCUACAAAUCGGUAUUUCUACUUCUAGAGAAAUACAUAUUAGUUUUUCAAAUAACUGCUAUUGACCUUACAUGAUUCUUUGAAGUCAUGCUAAUUUGGAUUUGUUAGGACAUACACUUGAACAUUUAUAGUAAAUAUCUGACUUUGUUUGUGGUGAUAUAAACCAGCAUGGUUAAUGCUACUGUUCCUUUGCAUAGGCCGAAUUAGUCAUGGCUAUUAUAGACUUCCCAUUCUUAUAGCGGUACGCUAAAUGAAUGUGGUUACUCACAGUUUCAGAGGAGUUUGUCAAUAAUUUGGCCAUGCAGUGUCGAAGUAUUUUCCCAUGAGGUUACACCUUCAAGGGUGACACUGAGGAAGCAUUCAGAUGCAUAGAUAUAAGAGAAACUCAACCGGUACAUAGAAGUUGUGUUGCAGACAACGAGGCCAUGGGGUUAAAUUUGUCUCCUCAAGUUGAGCAAGAAGCAUGGUGUCAUUAACGAGAUCACAACAUUUCUUCAAAGUUUAUUCAAUGGUGUGUCAUAUUUGUUUCUUGUUAAGUUUUCUGUAUAUUUCUAUAUUUAUUUGUACAAAGUGGAAGCUCUGGAUGAACUCCAUAUACUCUUCCAACUUUAUUCAAUAAGAUCAAAGUAUGCAAUAUGUUUUUGAAUAGUACAUGUACUAUAUAUUUUUGAAUAGUAUAUAUAUGUUCAAAUAGAAUUGAAAUUCUUUCCUUAUAGAGGUAAAAAUCUUUUGGAUGGUAAAAAUAUUCCAAAGCAAUAUCAUUGUCAUUGGAUUCACUAAGUCAUGCAUUAUCCACAGUGACAGAGGCGUAGAAAAUGUUGUUAUGAGAUUACAAGAGUGUAAGUUGUGCUAUGGUGAUGGAUGUUUCGUGGUGUGAAGCCAUGAGGUCUACAUGCCAUCAGUAGGUUGCUAGCACUGCCGAAAUUUGUUGUUCUGUGGCAACGCACGGGUAUUCAGCUAGUAGAAAUAGUGUGUUUCUCCUGGCCAACCUGGCCAUCAUCCCCCUGGCCGCUGUGGUUCGAAAUUGCUCUGCUAUUUUGUUUUUUGAGGGGGAAAACUGCGCUGCUCUGCGAGCAGUUUCGGAAAACCAGCAUGACCCCCGCAGCUGGGCCAGAGGCCCAGGUAACUAUUUUCUUUAAAACAUAUCAUGAACGAAAAAAAAUAUUCUUAUAGAGAAAAAGCGCAGAAAAGAUACAAAUGAAAAAUGCCAUGCAGUAAUUUAAAAACAAAUCAUGCUAUGCUUUAUAAAAAUGACAAGCUCUAGUUUUAUAAAUUUGCCAUGGUGUUUUUUACAAAAACUAGUAUGAAAAAUCAAGGCAGCGGGUAUGCAAGUUUGCAUGUCAAAAAUCAUUUCAAAGUAUCAUGGCAACAUAUGUUUCAUUUUCAUGGCGAAAACUGUGUUGAAAUCACAAAUUGUAGAUGACUAUUAUACGAAACACAAAGAAACUUGUGGCUAAUAUUAAAACUGCCACAAUCCAAUUAAUAAAUUUUCCUAACAUGGCCUAAAUAAUAAAAUUGCCAUACUACCUAUAAUGAAAAGUUUACACAUGGAAAUUUAGUAAAAAAAUAAAAUGGAAAAAAUUUCACUGAAUACGCAAGGCAACUUUUUGAAAAAUGGUAAUGGGUACAUGAUUUGUUUUUGAAACGGAUGGCAAAUGUAGAAAUAAAAAAAAUCACUAAGUACAAGGCAACUUUUUCGUGGUCCAUAAGGUGUUUAUGCAAAAGAAAUUGCCAUGUUCUAAUUAACGAAAUUGCCAUAUUAUAAAUAAUAAAAUUUCCAUGAUACAUACAAUUAAACUACCAUGGUCUAUAAACCAAAAAAAAUCCAUGGCAAAAAACUGUAACGGGUGCAUGGCAAAAGUUAUAGGAUUUUUCCCAUGGCAAAAAUUAUGUUUUUGAAAUGGCAAAAUUUGUAUUGGUGGCAGAGCGAAAAGUAAAAACUGUGUUGGUUACAUGGCAAAAAAUUGGAUUCGGCGCAUUCAAAAAUAGUUUAAAAGAUUUUGCCAUGGUUAACAAAUUAUGAAUUGCAAAUGAAAAUUUUGGCAUGGUAGUAGUAGAAAAAUGGAAAUGGAAGAUUUGUCAUCUAGUCGAUGCAUCUUCUAGUUAUCUGUGUCCGGCGGCGGCAUCGUCCAGGUUGGUUGGUUGCGUCGAAUGACAGCGCAUUUCUCUCACCCGCCCACAUGAUCACGGCUUGCUUCACCAACGUCCCCUCGUCAAAAUCAAAACAGAAAAACAGACAUCUACGGCCGGCCGGUUUCGGAAUCUGAACAGAAGACGGAGACCGAGUCCGUGAAGGAGACGUCCCCGAGCCCGAGGAGAGAUUACAGAUUAAAUUCUUGGGCGGCCCUCUUCCUCUUCCUCGCCACCGUACCGUGAGAUAUCAUACAGUAGUACAGGGGAGGGAGGGAGGGAGAUCACGUACGUUCCACCGUGAGGACAAGCGCAGAUAGAUAGAAAGAUGUCCAACUUUUCCGUUGAGGAGGAGAUGCAUACUACUACCCAACAACAAAUCAACAAGGCCGUCGACUCGGCUUACCUUGUUGAUAAUCCUGGCAAGGCCCUCGGCUUUCUCAUACACGAGACGCAACGGUUGCGCCGUCGGAUUCAGUCCCGGCUGGCAUCGCUUCGGAGCAAUAAUUCUGAUGAUGAAAAGAUCCACCGCGUGCCCUCGGGCAAGCUCCAAAAGAUGCGUCUCAUGUCCACCGCAUUGCUCACCAUCUCACAGCUUAUAAACACCCACAUAUCUCCUCCUCGUAACGACAAGGAGGACGAAAUUCCUUGGCAUCUUCGUUUUCACGAUUCCGGCUGGGAGUCCACGUGGGGAAGCCGACCGCCAGCUCAUGGCACAUUUUAUGACACAAGUAAGAUAAGAAUGCUUUUUUCUUCUAAUUAUGAUGACUCGGUUUCCCAAUAAUAAUUCCUUUUCUUGUGUAUGCAUGCAAAGAUUCCCUCCCAUCCAUCCAUAUUACUUGGUGCUGGUUUAGUACAACUCAUAUUACUUGUCGUUGGACUAGUUUCAUUGAUUUCUACGUCCAGAUUCACUUAUUUUAAUUUGGUGUUGCAGCUACAUGGAGUCCUAUGCAGUUUACGCACGCGCCUGCUAAAUUUCCAUACUCUUCUACGGUCGGCCGCGCCUUGCAGAUCUACUCAAUCAAAAUCGUCAACCUCAACCCCAAUCUCGACUGGCCUCUCCAUGUCUAGGGCGUGGUUGCCGCACGAGACUGCUUUGACCACAACCGCAACGUUCUCUUCCACCGGUCCGAGGCUAAUUGCCAACGAGUCACCCAAGAUGUAUGUACAGUGCCAAUCUUCUUAUCUAAUUUUUGAUUAGUCUGUUCCUAAUAAGUAUAGUAGAAUAAUGAUGAUGCUGCUUGCAGGACCCUUUUCUGCACUUGAUUGGCCCGUCACGUGCAAUUGUGGCCCAAGAUCGUGUUAUGUUUGAAGUCCAACUAAAAAUGAAGUACGGAGCAGAGUCUAAAGAUACAGCAUUGUUCACUUCCAGCUAUAGUUACGCCUUUGACAGGCGGUGUUCCACCAUUCUGAUCUACAGCCGUUGUUGUAUGGCAGAGUUAAGCCUCGAGGGGCUUACUCAAGCAAUCCAGGCCACCAUUGUUGGUGUUCGCGUCGUCAAAGGAAAGUGGCCUUGUAAGUAUGGAUGCCGAGUUUCUUGCUCCUUGUCCCCUAUUGAAGAGGCUAUUGAUUCCACGCCGAUGGAAGUUGUGCUGCUUGAAUCUCGCGGCAAAGAAAUGCCUGCACGUUCAGAUGGUUACAUUCAUUUAUCAAGGAAUGUGGUUUCGGUGGAUAUACAUACUACAUUGAAAGUUUGCAUACAAGCUUACUCGAAUGCUGGUUCCACUCCUCUACAGGGUCAUGUGAACUUUCCUGUACAGGAAUGCCAAGUAAGCAAGCGGAAAUGCUUACUUGGCAACUCUAGGGUGGUGGAGAUCAUUGUUGCUUGGUCCCUCCUUCCCAUGGACGAGCUUGGCUAGUACCGGAGGGAUAUUGUACCCUGAUCGAUGUAGAGUGUUGUUGCAGAAUUUCCGUAUCAAAUCUAGCUUAUGUUAUCCAGUUAAUAGUGCACCAACUAUGACAUGUUGAAGUAUCCGUGUAUCUACCAUCUAUCUAAGUGUUUUGAGUACCUGCAGCUUAUGUUAUCCAACUAUUUACUGCCUUCUUUUUUUAAAACAAACUGUACUGACUUAUGUGGGGUGAAAUAUUCUGGUUUGAUUUAUAACUAGCAAAGUGGCCCGCACAAGUGCGCGGGCUAGCUUAUGAGAUAUUCUGUUUUCAUUAAGGUGUAGUUGUGUAGUUAUUUUUUAAUUAACCCGCAAAGGAGUCUUGUAUCACUAUGCCUAAAAACAUGUACUCUCUAAAAUUCUGAGGAGUAUCUAGCCGAGCAUCCUUUAGUGGAGCAGAUUUGCUUUCUAAGAAAUGGUCGUUUCUAACCAAUCUUCUAAAAUUUUGUUUUUUCAAAAAAAAAUCAUCCAAUUCUAGUUUACAUAGCACAUUAUAACGUACAUAUUUGCACACAUAUGAAAUCCAAACAUAUUAAGGUUCACACUCUUUACAAAUUCAUAGUUUCCAAACGAAAUUAUUACAAAUUCAAACAGACCGAAGCAUUCAAAUGAAGUAAAUAGCAUGAUAAAAGUACAACUACGAAGUGCUAUGGAGAUGCCAAUGAUGCUCAACAAGAACAUCUUGGAACUGGUAAAGAACUUCUUGGUUCUUGAUCCCGCGAUGCUCUUUGAGGAAUCUCUGUAUCAUAUUUGCAUCGUGCUCUGGCUCAACGGAAUCCCCAUUGGUGAUGUACCGAUAGUUUUCAAGCAUGCAUCCCUCAUCUUCAAUGAUCUUGUUAUGCAAGAUGAUGUAACAUGUCAUAAUUUACCAUAAAACAUUGGGGUUCCAAUACUCGGCAGGGCCACGGACGAUGGCAAAAUGCUUUUGAAGUAUAUUAAUAGCUCUCUCCACAUCCUUCCAAGUUGAAUCUUGCCGUGUUGCCAAGAGAGACCUUUUGUUACCUUUUGGAUGCGGAAUUGUUUUGACAAAUGUGGCCCAUGAAGGAUAGAUGCCAUCCGGAAGGUAGUUACCCAUCGUGUACUCAUGACCAUUGACCAUAUAGUUGCAAGGAGGAGCCUCUCCAUCAACAAGCCUAGCAAACAGUUGUGAUCUCGACAACACAUUCAGGUCAUUGUGAGAGCCAAUAAUCAGAUGAAUGAAUGCCAAAUCAAUAGAUCCUCUGAUGCAAUAGCAUCAAGAAUGAGUGUUGGUUUGUUGUAGUGGACUUUAUACUGACAUUUCCACCUUGCAGAGCAUAGUGAGGUCUAAUGGCCGGCUAGAUACGUUGAGCCGCUACUAGCGAUCGACGAGGCAUGGAGAUGACCAGCAAAGUAUAGUGAGGAGUCGUGAAGCUCCGAGGAAAAAGAUCCGAGCCGCUUUUCAGCGACAGGGUGGAUGUGGCGGUGCGGAUUUUCAGCUCGACUCCAGCGACGAUAAGGGCGUCGGCCAGCAACUGGCUCAUACUAGGCAGAAGGGCGGCGAGGGCGAAGGGAAGCAGCUGUGUAGGGCGGGUAGUCGUUAGCACUAGCGCUGGCGACAACGUAGCAGGGGGUGGGGCAUGAAAAAGAGUCCCCAACUUUUACUCGGUCGGGAGGAAGCCGAGUAUAUUUAGGAGUUCACGUUGCCAAGGAGUAUAUGAUCCCCCAAAAAACUUGAAGUCAAAUGCACGUACAUUCUAUGUGUAUUGAUAUCUGAUUCUUGACUUCUAGCUUCAUUCUCGGAAAUUGGCAAUGGCUCCUAGGUGCAUAUGCAUCCAUUGUCUAAAUACAUAUUUCGAAAAAUUCUGAACAAAAAUCCCACGUGUAUAUCCGGACAUUCUAAGUGCGUGCACAUAGUUUUCGGUGAAAAACGAGGUUUUUUGUGGCUUCUGUAAAAAAGACAAUUUUUAAUGCUUCAUUAUAACUAUUCAUUUUGCAUUUCUUUAUCUUUUUUACAAAAGCCACAAAAAAUGUCGUUUUUCACCGAAACUUUGUGCAUGCACACAGAAUGUCCAGAUAUACCCGCAGAAUUUUUGUUCCGAAUUUUUUAACUUUUCAAAAUGUGUAUUUAGACAAUGGGUGCAUAUGCACCUAGGAGCCAAAACACCGCGUCCAUUCUCGUGAAUUUUGGUGAAACAUAUUUUAGAGUGUAGAUUCACUCAUUUUGCUCGGGAUGUAGUCCUCUUGGAAUCUCUAAAAAGACUUAUAUUUAGGACCGGAGGGAGUACAGCUUCAGCAAAUUAACAAGUCUAAUAACUAUUGUACUGAAGCAAAUUCUAAAAUUAACAAGUCUAGUAACUACUCUACUGAAUCAAAUUUACCCUAGCGCCCCAUAAUAUUACGGAUUUGCUGCUAAUUAGCUAAAGAACAGUGCCAAAUUAGUGCUGAUUACCCACCACUAUCUACCCCUAACCCUAGUGGAUGGGGACAACGGACGGGGCAGGACGCUUACCCUGGGCGGCAACUCUUGAUGAAGCGAUGGCGAAAGCGGUGGUGGGUGGAGGAAGCGACGGCAUGGACGGUAGACAACGUGUACUGCGGCAGCUCCGGUGGCCGAGGAUGCCUUCGGCCGGGGAAUCAUUCGUGCGGGGAGUUGGCAAGAGAGAGUGAGGCGAGGAAGAAACUGGGAAAUUGAAUAAGGUGAGGACUAAAUUUGGCAUGGUGUCUUCAUUGCACCCUUGUAGGGUGUGGUAAAAAAAUUGAAAGUGUUACGGUAAAAAUUUGAUGUACCUCAUGUGCAAACCGGACACUCUCAAACGAAGUGUCAGGGUUUGGAACAUAAACCACCGCCUUCCACGUGCUACUCCAAUUAUUUAAAUCAUUUGGAAUUUAAAUAUUUUUCAUUAGUAAUAGACACCAUACAAAACCCCAUGAUCAAAUUUGGGACUACUCUAGGUUUAAUAAAUGUGUGACUGCCCGCCACUUCUAACUUUUGCAAAUUUUGUACUUUUUGGCACGGGUUACUGAAGGAAAUAUGCCCUAGUGGCAAUAAUAAAGUUGUUAUUUUUAUUUCCUUAUAUCAUGAUACAUGUUUAUUAUUCAUGCUAGAAUUGUAUUAACCGGAAACUUAGUACAUGUGUGAAUACAUAGACAAACAGAGUGUCGCUAGUAUGCCUCUACUUGACUAGCUCGUUGAAUCAAUGAUGGUUAUGUUUAGUAACCAUAGACAUGAGUUGUCAUUUGAUUAACGGGAUCACAUCAUUAGAGAAUGAUGUGAUUGACUUGACCCAUUCAUUAGCUUAGCACGAUGAUCAUUUAGUUUGUUGCUAUUGCUUUCUUCAUGACUUAUACAUGUUCCUAUGACUAUGAGAUUAUGCAACUCCCGGAUACCGCAGGAACACUUUGUGUGCUACCAAACGUCACAACGUAACUGGGUGAUUAUAAAGGUGCUCUACAGGUGUCUCUGAUGGUACUUGUUGAGUUAGCAUAGAUCAAGAUUAGGAUUUGUCACUCCGAUUGUCGGAGAGGUAUCUCUGGGCCCUCUCGGUAAUGCACAUCACUAUAAGCCUUGCAAGCAAUGUGAUUAAUGAGUUAGUUGCGGGAUGAUACAUUAAGGAACGAGUAAAGAGACUUGCCUGUAACGAGAUUGAACUAGGUAUUGAGAUACCGACGAUCGAAUCUCGGGCAAGUAACAUACCGAUGACAAAGGGAACAACGUAUGUUGUUAUGUGGUUUGACAGAUAAAGAUCUUCGUAGAAUAUGUAGGAACCAAUAUGAGCAUCCAGGUUCCGCUAUUGGUUAUUGACCGGAGAUGAGUAUCUGUCAUGUCUACAUAGUUCUCGAACCCGUAGGGUCCGCACGCUUAACGUUCGGUGACGGUCGGUAUUAUGAGUUUAUGUGUUUUGAUGUAUCGAAGGUUGUUCGGAGUCCUGGAUGAGAUCAGGGACAUGACAAGGAGUCUCGAAAUGUUUGACAUGUAAAGAUCGAUAUAUUGGAAGGCUAUAUUCGGACAUCGGAAAGGUUCUGAGUGGUUCGGGUAUUUAUCGGAGUACCGGAGAGUUACGGGAAUUCGCCGGGGAGUAUAUGGGCCUUAUUGGGCUUUAGGGGAGAGAGAGGGGGGGCUGCCUAGGGAAGGCCGCGCGUCCCCCAAGGCCUAGUCCGAAUUGGACUAGGGGGAGGGGCGGCGCCCUCUCCUUCCUUCUCUUCUCUCUUCCCCUUCCUUCUCUCCUACUCCUACUAUUUGGAAAAGGGGGAAUCCUACUCCCGGUGGGAGUAGGACUCCCCAGGGCGCGCCAUAGUAGAUGGCCGGCCCUCCCCCUCCUCCACUCCUUUAUAUACGGGGGAGAGGGCACCCCAUAGACACACAAGUUGAUCAUUGAUCUCUUAGCCGUGUGUGGUACCCCCUCCACCAUAAUCCACCUUGGUCAUAUCGUCGUAGUGCCCUACGACGGUAGCUUCAUCAUCACCGUCGCCACGUCGUCGUGCUGACAAAACUCUCCCUCAAACUCUACUGGAUCAUGAGUUCGUGAGACGUCACCGAGUUGAACGUGUGCAGAUCGCGGAGGUGCCGCAUGUUCGGUACUAGGAUCGGUCGAUCGUGAAGACGUACGACUACAUCAACCGCAUUGUCAUAACGCUUCCGCUUUCGGUCUACGAGGGUACGUGACAACACUCUCCCCUAUUGUUGCUAUGCAUCACCAUGAUCUUGCGUGUGCGUAGAAUUUUUUUCGAAAUUACUAACCUCCCCAACAGUGGCAUCCGAGCCAGGUUUAUGCGUAGCUGUUAUAUGCACGAGCAGAACACAAAGGAGUUGUGGGCAUGGGUAUAUACAUAUUGCCUGCCGUCACUAGUUGAUUCUUGAUUCGGCGGUAUUGUUGGAUGAAGCGGCCUAGACCGAUAUUACGCGUACACUUACGCGAGACUGGUUCUACCAAUGUGCUUCACACACAGGUGGCUGGUGGGUGUCAGUUUCUCCAACUUUAGUUGAAUCGGAUUCAAUGAACAGGGUUCUUUCUGAAGAUCAAAAAGCAAUCACUAUACCGCGUUGUGGUUUUUGAUGCGUAGGUAAGAACGGUUCUUGCUCAGCCCGUAGCAGCCACGUAAAACUUGUAACAACAAAGUUGAGGACGUCUAACUUGUUUUUGCAGGGCAUGUUGUGAUGUGAUAUGGUCAAGACAUGAUGCUAUAUUUUAUUAUAUGUGAUGAUCAUGUUUUGUAACACAGUUAUCGGCAACUGGCAGGAGUCAUAUGGUUGUCGCUUUAUUGUAUGAAAUGCAAUCGCCAUGUAAUUGCUUUACUUUAUCACUAAGUGGUAGCGAUAGUCAUGGAGGCAAUAGUUGGCAUGACGACAACGAUACUUCGAUGGAGAUCAAGGUGUCAAGCCGGUGAUGAUGGUGAUCAUGACGGUGCUUUGGAGAUGGAGAUCAAAGGCACAAGAUGAUGAUGGCCAUAUCAUAUCACUUAUAUUGAUUGCAUGUGAUAUUUAUCAUUUAUGCAUCUUAUUUUUCUUAGUUCGACGGUAGCAUUAUAAGAUGACCUCUCACUAAAUUUCAAGGUACAAGUGUUCUCCCUGAGUAUGCACCGUUGCGAAAGUUCGUCGUGCCGAGACACCACGUGAUGAUCGGGUGUGAUAAGCUCUGCGUUCACAUACAACGGGUGAAAGCCAGUUUUGUACAUGCAGAAUACUCAGGUUAAACUUGACGAGCCUAGCAUAUGCAGAUAUGGCCUCGGAACACUGGAGACCGAAAGGUCGAGCGUGAAUCAUAUAGUAGAUAUGAUCAACAUAGUGAUGUUCACCAUUGAAAACUACUCCAUCUCACAUGAUGAUCGGACAUGGUUUAGUUGAUAUGGAUCACGUGAUCACUUAGACGAUUAGAGGGAUGUCUAUCUAAGUGGGAGUUCUUAAGUAAUAUGAUUAAUUGAACUUUAAAUUUAUCAUGAACUUAGUCCUGGUAGUAUUAGCAUAUCUAUGUUGUAGAUUAAUAGCUCGCGUUUAGCUCCCUUGUUUUAUUUUUGAUAUGUUCCUAGAGAAAACUAAGUUGGAAGAUGAUAGUAGCAAUGAUGCGGACUAGGUCCGUGAUCUGAGGAUUAUCCUCUUGAUUCACCACUAGGUGACAGACCUAUUGCAGGAGCAGAUGCAGACGUUAUGAAUGUUUGACAAGCUCGGUAUGAUGACUACUUGAUAGUUUAUUGCACCAUGCUUUAUGGCUUAGAACCGGUACUUCAAAAAUGUUUUGAACGCUACAGAGCAUAUAAGAUGUUCCAAGAGUUGAAAUUGGUAUUUCAUACUCAUGCCCGUGUCGAGAGGUAUGAGACCUCUGACAGUACUUUGCCUACAAGAUGGAGGAGAAUAGCUCAACUAGUGAGCAUGUGCUCAGAUUGUCUGGGUACUACAAUUGCUUGAAUCAAGUGGGAGUUAAUUUUUCAGAUAAGAUAGUAAUUAACAAAGUUCUCUAGUCACUAUCAUCAAGUUACUAGAACUUCAUGAUGAACUAUAAUAUGCAAGGGAUGACGAAAACAAUUCCCAAAGCUCUUUGCGAUGCUAAAACCGGUGAAGGUAGAAAUCAAGAAAAACACCAAGUGUUGAUGGUUGACAAGACCACCAGUUUCAAGUAAAAGGGCAAGGGAGAGAAAGGGAACUUCAAGAAGAAUGGCAAGCAAGUUGCCACUCCCAUGAAGAAGCCUAAAGCUAGACCCAAGCCUGAAACUGAGUGCUUCUACUGCACAGGAAAUGGUCACUGGAAGCGGAACUUCCCUAGAUACUUGGCGGAUAAGUAGGAUGGCAAAGUGAACAAAAGUAUAUUUGAUAUACAUGUUAUUGAUGUGUACUUUUCUAGUGUUUAUAGCAACCCCUCGGUAUUUGAUACUGGUUCAGUUGCUAAAAGUAGUAACUCAAAACGGGAGUUGCAAAAUAAACAGAGACUAGUUAAGGGCGAGGUGAUGAUGUGUGUUGGAAGUGAUUCCAAGGUUGAUAAGAUCACCAUCGCACACUCCCUUUACCUUCGGUAUUUGUGUUGAACCUAAAAUAAAUGUUAUUUGGUGUUUGCGUUGAGCAUGAAUAUGAUUUGAUCAUGUUUAUUGCAAUACGGUUAUUCAUUUAUGUCAAAGAAUAAUUUUUGUUCUAUUUACUAAAACCUUCUAUGAUCAUACACUCAAUAUAAAUGGUUUAUUGAAUCUCGAUCGUAGUGAUACACAUAUUCAUAAUAUUGAAGCCAAAAAAUGCAAAGUUAAUAAUGAUAGUGCAACUUAUUUGUGGCACUGCUGUUUAGGUCAUAUUGGUGUAAAGCGCAUGAAGAAACUCCAUGCUGAUGGGUUGUUGGAACCACUGGAUUAUGAAUCACUUGAUGCUUGCGAACCAUGCCUCAUAGGCAAGAUGGCUAAGAAUCCGUUCUCCAGAACAAUGGAGCGAGCAACUGACUUAUUGGAAAUAAUACAUACUGAUGUAUGCGGUCUGAUGAGUGUUGAAGCUCGCGGCGGGUUUUAUUAUUUUCUGACCUUCACAUAUGAUUUGAGCAAAUAUGGGUAUAUCUACUUGAUGAAACAUAAGUCUGAAAUAUUUGAAAAGUUCAAAGAAUUUCAGAGUGAAGUGGAAAAUCAUCAUAACAAGAAAAUAAAGUUCAUAUGAUCUGAUCGCGGAGACGAAUAUUUGAGUUACGAGUUUGGUCUUGAACUAAAACAAUGUGGAAUAGUUUCACAAAUUCAUGCCACCUAGAACACCACAGCAUAAUGGUGUGUCCGAACGUCAUAACCAUACUUUAUUGGAUAUAGAGCAAUCUAUGAUGUCUCUUACCGAUUUGCACUAUCGUUUUGAGGUUAUGCAUUAGAAACAGAUACAUUCACAUUAAAUAGGGCACCGUCUAAUCCGUUGAGACAACACCGUAUGAACUAUGGUUUGGCUAGAAACCUAAGCUGUCGUUUCUUAAAGUUUGGGAUUGUGAUGCUUAUGUGAAAAAGUUUCAGCCUGAUAAGCAGAAACCUAAAUCGGAAAAGUGCGUCUACAUAGGAUACCCAAAAGAAAUUGUUGGGUACACCUUCUAUCACAUAUCCGAAUGGCAAUAUCUUUGUUGCUAAAAAUGGAUCAUUUCUAGAGAAGGAGUUUCUCUCGAAAUAAGUGAGUGGGAGGAAAGUAGAACUUGAUAAGGUAAUUGUACCUUCUCCCGAAUUGGAAAGUAGUUCAUCACAGAAAUCAGUUCCAGUGAUUCCUACACCAAUUAGUAAGGAAGCUAAUAAUGAUGAUCAUGAAACUUUAGAUUAAGUUACUACCGAACCUCAUAGGUCAACCAGAGUACGGUCCGCACCAGAGUGGUACGGUAAUCCUGUUCUGAAAGUCAUGUUACUAGACCAUGACGAACCUACAAACUAUGAGGAAGCGAUGAUGAACCCAGAUUCUGCAAAAUGGCUUGAGGCGAUGAAAUCUGAGAUGGGAUCCAUGUAUGAGAACAAAGUAUGGACUUUGAUUGACUUGCCCGAUGAUCGGUGAGUCAUUGAGAAUAAAUGGAUCUUCAAGAGGAAGACGGACACUGAUAGUAGUGUUACUAUCUACAAAGCUCUAAUUGUCGCAAAAUAUUUUCGACAAGUUCAAGGUGUUGACUACGAUGAGAUUUUCUCACUCAUAUCGAUGCUUAAAAGUCUGUCCGAAUCAUGUUAGCAGUUGCUGCAUUUUAUGAAAUCUGGCAAAUGGAUGUCAAAACUGCAUUCCUUAAUGGAUUUCUUAAAGAAGAGUUGUAUAUGAUGCAACCAGAAGGUUUUGUCGAUCCUAAAGAUGCUAAUAAAGUGAGCAAGCUCCAGCGAUCCAUCUAUGGACUGGUGCAAGCAUCUCGGAGUUGGAAUAUAUGCUUUGAUAAAGUGAUCAAAGCAUAUGGUUUUAUACAGACUUGCGGUGAGGCCUGUAUUUACAAGAAAGUGAGUGGAAGUACUACAACAUUUCUGGUAAAUAUAUGUGAAUGACAUAUUGUUGAUCAAAAAUAAUGUAGAAUUUUCUGGAAAGCAUAAAGGAGUGUUUGAAAGGAGUUUUUUCAAAGAAAGAGCUCGGUGAGGCUACUUCCAUAUUGAGCAUCAAGAUCUAUAGAGAUAGAUCAAAACUCUUGAUAUAUUUUCAAUAAGUACAUACAUUGACAAGAUUUUGAAGUAGUUCAAAAUGAAACAGUCAAAGAAGGAGUUCUUGCCUGUGUUGCAAGGUGUAAAGUUGAGUAAAGACUCAAAACCCGACCACGGCAGAAAAUAGAAAGAGAAUGAAAAGUCAUUCCCUAUGCCUCAGUUGUAGGUUCUAUAAAGUAUGUCAUGCUGUGUACCGGACCUAUUGUGUACCUCACCAUAAGUUUGGCAAGAGGGUACAAUAGUGAUCCAGGAGUGGAUCACUGGACAGCAGUCAAAAAUAUCCUUAGUGGAAUAAGGAAAUGUUUCUCGCUUAUGGAGGUGACAAAGAGUUCAUCGUCAAGAGUUACGUCGAUGCAAGCUUUGACACCGAUCUGGAUGACUCUAAGUCUCGAUCUAGAUACAUAUUGAAAGUAGGAGCAAUUAGCUAGAGUAGCUCCGUGCAAAGCAUUGUAGACAUAUAAAAAUUUGCAAAAUACAUACGUCUCUGAAUGUGGCAGACCCGUUGACUAAAUUUCUCUCACAAGCAAAACAUGAUCACUCUUUGGGUGUUAAUCACAUAGUGAUGUGAACUAUAUUAUUUACUCUAGUAAACCCUUUGGGUAUUAGUCACAUAGAGAUGUGAACUAAUCACAUAAAGAUUUGAACUAUUGGUGAUAAAUCACAUGACGAUGUGAACUAGAUUAUUGACUCUAGUGCAAGUGGGAGACUGAAGGAAAUAUGCCCUAGAGGCAAUAAUAAAGUUAUUAUUUAUAUUUCCUUAUAUCAUGAUAAAUGUUUAUUAUUCAUGCUAGAAUUGUAUUAACCGGAAACUUAGUACAUGUGUGAAUACAUAGACAAACAGAGUGUCACUAGUAUGCCUCUACUUGACUAGCUCAUUGAAUCAAUGAUGGUUAUGUUUCCUAACCAUAGACAUGAGUUUUCAUUUGAUUAACGGGAUCACGUCAUUAGAGAAUGAUGUGAUUGACUUGACCCAUCCGUUAGCUUAGCAUGAUAAUCGUUUAGUUUGUUGCUAUUGCUUUCUUCAUGACUUAUACAUGUUCCUAUGACUAUGAGAUUAUGGAACUCCCUGAUACUGAAGGAACACUUUGUGUGCUACCAAAUGUCACAACGUAACUGGGUGAUUAUAAAUGUGCUCUACAGGUGUCUCCGAUGGUACUUGUUGAGUUGGCAUAGAUCGAGAUUAGGAUUUGUCACUCCGAUUGUCGGAGAGGUAUCUCUGGGCCCUCUCGGUAAUGCACAUCACUAUAAGCCUUGCAAGCAAUGUGAUUAAUGAGUUAGUUGCGGGAUGAUGCAUUACGGAACGAGUAAAGAGACUUGCCGGUAACGAGAUUGAACUAGGUAUUGAGAUACCGACGAUCGAAUCGCGGGCAAGUAACAUACCGAUGACAAAGGGAACAACGUAUGUUGUUAUGCGGUUUGACCGAUAAAGAUCUACGUAGAAUAUGUAGGAACCAAUAUUAGCAUCUAGGUUCCGCUAUUGGUUAUUGACCGGAGAUGAGUAUCGGUCAUGUCUACAUAGUUCUCGAACCCGUAGGGUCCGCACGCUUAACGUUCAGUGACGGUCGGUAUUAUGAGUUUAUGUGUUUUGAUGUACCGAAGGUUGUUCGGAGUCCCGGAUGAGAUCAGGGACAUGACGAGGAGUCUCGAAAUGUUCGACACGUAAAGAUCGAUAUAUUGAAGGGCUAUAUUCGGACAUCGGAAAGGUUUUGAGUGGAUCGAGUAUUUAUCGGAGUACCGAAGAGUUACGGGAAUUCGUCGGGGAGUAUAUGGGCCUUAUUCGGCUUUAGGGGGACAGAGAGAGGGGCUGCCUAGGGCAGCCCCCCCCCCCCCAAGGCCUAGUCCGAAUUGGACUAGGGGGAGGGGCGGCGCCCCCUCCUUCCUUCUCUUCUCUCUUCCCCUUCCUUCUCUCCUACUCCUACUAUUUGGAAAAGGGGGAAUCCUACUCCCGGUGGGAGUAGGACUCCCCAGGGCGCGCCAUAGUAGAUGGCCGGCCCUCCCCCUCCUCCACUCCUUUAUAUACGGGGGAGGGGGCACCCCAUAGACACACAAGUUGAUCAUUGAUCUCUUAGCCAUGUGCGGUACCCCCUCCACCAUUAUCCACCUUGGUCAUAUCGUCGUAGUGCCCUACGCCGGUAGGUUCAUCACCACCGUCGCCACGUCGUCGUGCUGACAAGACUCUCCCUCAAAGCUCUACUGGAUCAUGAGUUCGUGAGACGUCACCAAGUUGAACGUGUGUAGAUCGCGGAGGUGCCGCAUGUUCGGUACUAGGAUCGGUCGAUCGUGAAGACGUACGACUACAUCAAGCGCAUUGUCAUAACGCUUCCGCUUUCGGUCUACGAGGGUACGUGACAACACUCUUCCCUCUUGUUGCUAUGCAUCACCAUGAUUUUGCGUGCGCGUAGAAUUUUUUUCGAAAUUACUACGUUCCCCAACAGUGGCAUCCGAGCCAGGUUUAUGCGUAGAUGUUAUAUGCACGAGCAGAACACAAAGGAGUUGUGGGCGUGGGUAUAUACAUAUUGCCUGCCGUCACUAGUUGAUUCUUGAUUCGACGGUAUUGUUGGAUGAAGCGGCCUAGACCAAUAUUACGCGUACACUUACGCGAGACUGGUUCUACCAAUGUGCUUCACACACAGGUGGCUGGUGGGUGUCAGUUUCUCCAACUUUAGUUGAAUCGGAUUCAAUGAACAGGGUUCUUUCUGAAGAUCAAAAAGCAAUCACUAUACCGCGUUGUGGUUUUUGAUGCGUAGGUAAGAACGGUUCUUGCUUAGCCCGUAGCAGUCACGUAAAACUUGUAACAACAAAGUUGAGGACGUCUAACUUGUUUUUGCAGGGCAUGUUGUGAUGUGAUAUGGUCAAGACAUGACACUACUAGGAAAAGGCCUACUAAUGGCGCACUUAAUUUGGCCAUUAAUGGCGCAUUAGCGGUGCGCCAUUAGUACCACGCCAUUAGUAUAUUUUACUAAUGGCGCACCACUGAUGCGCCAUUAGUGUAUGCAGAAGUGCGCCAUUAGUAUGCCUCCCAGGGGCCAUGUAUACCCAGGUGCUCUGGCAUACUAAUGGCGCACGGCAGCAAGAUGCGCCAUUAGUAACCUCGGCAUACUAAUGGCGCACUCUUCAGUGAUGCGCACUGUCAUGUGAUGCGCCAUUAGUAUGAAUAUUAUGUUUUUUUAUUUUUUAUUUUCUGUUUUUUGCACAGGUUACAAAAUGUAUAAUUUGACAAAAUAUAGACAGCACACAUCAACAACAGAUUCAUCGAAUACAAUAGAAGAUUAGUCUUUGAAUACAAUUCAUCAUUUUAGUCUCCGAAUACAAUUCAUCAUAUUAGUCUCCGAAUUGAAAAGAUCGAACAAAGAUAGAACAUUAUAUUACAAGUCUCGAGACCGCGAGUAGCGAGUUUGUCUUCACAUUACAAGUCGAUAUCGAUCAUCUAAACUACCAUCACAUAAAAGAGAGUUGCGGUCAUCACGAUGAGCAUCAUCACGAUGAAACUCGUCUUCAUCCGGUUCCUCCAAUGCUCCCUCCCCUCUCCCGCUAGAUAGCGGGCGUAUCUAGAUUCGGCCUCGGCCCUAGUGGUGUAACCUUUGUAACUGUUACCGCUGAAUCGGUGAACCUGUCUCCGACACUCCUCCCAGUUGUCGUAGACUCCGGGAACCUUACCCUUGUACACGACAUACGUCGGCAUCGCUAUGCACUAGCCAAACGAAACGUUAGUACCAAUUCACAGACAAUACAUAAGCAAUAUAUAAGUAUGCAACAGAACGAUCGGAAGAGAAAAGCAAGACAUUAAUAGCAUCGAUUACAUCUAAGUUGAACGACUCUCGAAACCAAAGAGGCAUACUACAAGUUCAUUAAAGUUUAAUUACAACAUGAGCCAAUCGAUGUUUCAGAACUAGACACAGCAUCACUGCUUUCGACUCGACUCAAGGGACCGAAGCGAGGAUGAAGCCGCCGUCUAUCGUGGGAGUCAUGAAAGAACGGGCGUUGUCAGCCUGCAUUUGUAGCAUUGUGUCGAUGUCACUGUUGGACGGUUGAUUUCUGAGGUAGAACUGCCCCGAGGUACGAAGGACAUCUUGAUGGAUGAUUUCCGCAAACUCCGACUGGAUGCGAAAGAAUUCUUGUCUAAUGUCCGCAUCCUGGAUUGCCGACACGCUCGCGGCCCAAUCUUUGAGUCUACUCGGUAGCAGAAGUUGAUGAUGGUCCCGUACGAUCGCCCGCAUGUGAUGGAUGGCGUAGUAGGCACCCUUCUGACCGCUAGGCGGCUGCUUGACGCAGCAGAACGUCGUAUUGUGGGAGAACACGUGCUUGCCGUACUUACGAAUAUGCCUGGUGAAGGUGCCUCCAGAUUUGACAUAGCCGGGGAGAACAUCAUCAAGAACAUUCUUGACAUUUGUGUAGUCUACGUUCGACUGACGGUCCGGGUCGAAAUACGUGGCCAUGGAAUAUUUGGGGCUUAGGAGGAUGAGCGUGCAAUGUGUGUCACUGCAGAAAACACGGAAUGUUAAAAGAAAAACGAUCGAAAUCUAAGAAUUCAUAUGUUACGGGGCGGUUGAGGGGAGGACUUACUCGGGAAAGUAAGGCACGAGGAAGUUAUCCUUAUCUUGGAUUGCCAGAAUGACGCCUUCGAGGUAAGAACUCGCGACUUGCCGGUCCCCAGCGCUGCCCAAGAUCUUGGCACGCAUGUAGAAGGGGUCGACUAUCACGAUGUCCGGGGUCUUGUCGCGAAUGAUCCGCAUCUCCAUACUUAGCGAAAAUAGCCGAACAAAGGUGUAGUGCAGCGGAUGAAGGUUCAACAUAGCGUGGAUGUCAUCAAACCGCAGGACGAUCGUACCCCCGAUGGAGUUAUCCACAAAGCCCUUGCCCUCUGGCACCUUGGCCGUGAAAACCGGGUAUGCCACAUCCUUCUCUCUGAGACGCCGCUUCUCCAAAGAAAGAACACUGUCAUGCAGACUCCGCAUAGCACCGGUUGCAGCAUUGAGCAUAUUUGUCGGUAGCACCGCCCUACCCGCCACAUGCACCCUCCUCGAGAUAUCCUCAGGUGAAGGUGGCCCGUCCUGAGCACGGAUCGUACUCGGUGCCGGCUGGCUCGCACCCUUGUUAGUCUUUCUUUUGCGUGCCUUCUUCUUCUCCUAUAAUGGGACCGAGUUCUGCUCACAGACCGCCUUCUUGAGUGUAUUUGGGCUGAUAAUAUUUCGCACCUCGCCUAUCUGAGGCUCGGUGGAGUCGGCAGCUGGAGGCGUCUCCUGAGAGCUGAACGGCAGACGACGCCUGUUGCAACUUGGCUUCUCCGCAGUACCAGCUAGAUCGCGCACGUCUUUUGUUGGGUUGGGUUCUUGAGAAGGAGCCCCCAUGAAGUCGCCAUCGUACCCAUGUUCGGCAAAGUACUGAUCGACGUUGCCAAAUGUAUCGUCGUCGUAGUCGUUCUGAUCCUGUGCCAUAUGCAUGUUUGGAUCCAGUGGCAUAGGGAUGUCCGGCACCGUUGCGGCGGUCUUGCCAUGGGGCCGAGUUGGCGCCGGCACGACUGGCGGUGUUGUCUUUGGGGUGGUGUCCCCCGCCCCCAAAGGAAUCUGGCUCUUCGGCCAAAGCAGGGGCCAGCUCAGGCAGGCGCUGAGGGUCAUCACAUCAUCAUCGUCGGCCCCGACGGGUCGAAUCGGAGGUAACAACUCGUCGCAGCCUGGCAGCACCCGAACCAGUUGAACCCUAAACAAGUUGGGUGGCAUCUGGGUACCGUGGAACAAGGGGUUGCCCGGUUGAACGAUUUUGCCCUUGGCGACAUCGACCAACUCGUUGUUCACGAAGUGUAGGAGAGUGCACGGAACGUCGGCGGCGCCCUGCGAAAACAUGUAGGGCGUCAGGGAUGCCCAGUCAAAGGCAAGGAGAUGAAGUCCUCGGCCGAGAGAGGCUUAAUUAGUUACCGUGAUGAUGGCGUCGAGCUCGGCUAAUGUCGAGGCACCGCCAACGGCGGGCGCGCGCAGUUGACGGAGGGGCCGCUUGCUGCAGAGGUGCCGGCCGGCGUACACCCGGGUGCAUUAAGCUCCCGUGCCAGCGUCGGAGACACCAAUGCCGCCUCCACAGGAGACACCAAUGGCCCCGCCAUCGCAUUCUGCGAGUUGCUGGCCGUGAAGCUAGGAAUCGGUGGCGGCCCCUGUUGGCCGCCCGCAAUCCACGCACUCAACCCCUGGAUCAAGGUAGGCACAAUGGCGGUGAUCGUCGCUCCGAGUCGUUGUUCCACUUGCUCUUGGACAAUCUCCGGAAUCCGCGCCACCUGUGCCUUGAGUUCUUGAACCUCGCGCGCCUGCCUUUCUGAGCUGGUCUUUUUCUCCUUCCGCACACCAGUGGUAUAGUAUGACCCCCAUUUUGUGGACAAGCCUUUGCCGGCCACACGACCAGCUGACGUCGGCUUACUGAGCUUAUCCUUGUUCUUCAUUACAUUCAACGCCCUAUUUAGAGUGGUGUCCCAAGGGUUGCUCGUAGUCGACCCCGCGCUACUGCUUUCAGUCGCCUGCGGAAGGAAUGUGAACCAUUUAGAAAUUUGGCUUCAUUAAUUAGAAUGCAACCAUAUGGAGCUAAUUACGCGGGGGUGUAUUCCUUACCAGAACAAGCUCAAGCGCCCUGGUCUUCGGAUCCGUGGUAAGCUCCUUUGUUAUCGGGUCCUCCUUGUACCGGGCCCUGACAUAGUUCCUAGUCUGCUUGUUACCGCUGUAUUUCUCGAAGCGGGGCGGUAGGCCUUGCUCGGCACGCUCCGUGUCCUCCUUGUCCCAUAUAGGCUCCGCCACUCUGUAACCGCCGGGACCGAGUUUGUGUUCCCCUAAGUUCAGCUCCCGCAUUUCUUUCCCCCACUGACUUGAUUGGGAGUUUGCGGUGCUCGAGCAAUUGAUCUUGAAGUCGUUGUAGUCAUCUUCGGUGAUCGAAGGAUUUUUCUCCUUGAUCUUCUCAUAACUCUCACCUUUCUCGAUCAUUCUCUUCACAUUGCUUUUCCAGGUAGACAGGGCCUUGCUCAUCUUCGUGAGGGCAGCAUUGUUCACUUUAUUCCCUUUGAGGCUUGUGUUUUCAAAAGUAGCGGGGAACUUGUAUCGUUCGUGCAGCUUCGUGAAGAGGAGGUUGCGCAAAUUCCCUCGGUCAGGAUGCCUCAGGUUCUCGGUCUUGAUCGAGACGGUGCUCCGGAGAAUGCACCCGAGCUGAAGCGAGUAUCCCUUGACUAUUCGUUCGGGUGCCGUUGGAUUCCCGUCGGAGUCCACUUCAGUAACUUCCUCCUUGAGGGUGCGGAGCACGGUCGGGCGCCGGUCCUUCCGUUGCCUCUUCUGUUGGCUGCCAUCUGUGCGUGUGCCGCCAUCAUCAGUGGUGGCAUCCUCGGCGGCACCAUCAGUGGUGGCAUCAGUGGGGUCAUCCUCGGCGGUACCAUCACUGGUCUCAGGAUUGGUGGGGAAGGCGGCGUCCUCAUACAAGUGAGGUUGUUCCUCCAUCUCCUGGGACAGCUCCCAGAAUGCCUUGCGGCCCGAACCCCCGGCCUCAUCGUUGUGGGCCAUGUCUCUCUCUAAAUAGAAACAAAGUUUGGUCAAAAAGUUGAUUAUUGUCAAGGAACAAGAUCAUGGUCUCAUCAUUUAGGGUUUGUCGACACCGAGGCAUCCUAAAAUAUAAGCUUUUAUCAUUGAGGGUUUUCGACGCCGAGGCACCCUAAAAGCCUAAGCUUUCAUCAUUUCGGUUUUUAUCGACACCGAGGCACCCUAAAAGCCAUGCAUUAGUCACAAGUACGCCGGGGCACUUGAUCCUACUUAAUUAACUACUAAGAUACCCGGCCCAUGCAUUAGUCACAAGUACCCCAUAUGUCCUAUUUUUAGCAAAGUCAUGUUAAAAUUCACGGAAAAUUUCAGCAUGACCUUUGCUGAAAAUAGGACAUAUGGAGUACCCGAAUUUGCCGGAACGGAAGUUAAUCGACAUUCCGGCAAACUCAAGGGCCUUUCGGGGUACCUGCAAAAUCAUUAUCCCAGGUGGACAUGGAUGCAAUGUCACAUGUCACAUGGAUCCCACACCCACAGGAGCUGGUGAAGCUUCAUGUGUAUUUCACGAAAACCAGCCUGACUAAAGAGCUUUAUGUAGAAAACAAAUCACUCCACCAGCUCACACAGGAUCCAUCAGAGACAUUCACCCAAGAUUUGACGGCUGUCGUUGAUUUUUUUUUCUAUGUUUGCACACAAAGUGGUGCUUCUAUUGUAGUCUCCCCAGUACAGUUCAUGUCCAAUCUACCAUACAUUUGCUGCCAACUUGAUCAUCCCUCUAAGCAAUUACUCAAAAUUGAUCAAAGUUUAUGCAUUAGAGAAUAUCAGUCAUUGAUGUAUGGGUCCACAUAUGUUAUGAAACAAACACUAAAACAAAUUGCAUGCGUGAUGCUGCUGAUGAUGACCAAGCCCAAUUAUCCAAGUGCUUUGUCCAACUAUAAGCACAGUGGAGUGCAGCAAAAUAAGAACAGUUUGCUUUGUGCUCACCACGCAGGGGAGGAGGCGACGAGGUCCGGGUGGUGGUGGUGCUCCGGCGACACCUACAUUGUACCCAUGGGCAUUCAGCAAUUUUGCAUAAGAGAGCAUGUCUUAGGCUCAACCACUUGUUCAGGUUUAUGAAAAAAUUUAUGCUACUGGUAGAUAGACGAUCUGGUGCUGAAAACAAAAUGAAAUGAAUAUAUCGGAGCUAAAGACCAGUAGAUUUUGGCAAACAUCCGCUGACAGGAGCCCAAAAUUCAUCUAUUUUCUUUGCAUGGGCCUAGCUACCUUUAUUCACUCAAGCUGGUAGCUGUUAAUAUAGAAGUAAGAUGGAGCCAUCCACUACUGUUAAACUAAAUAGUGCUAAACUAGAAAGGAUAUUAGAUAAUAAUGGAAAGUAAAGGAGCCCAAAACCUUCAGAGCACACACAACAGGAGAAAGAGUAUUAUAGCACUUGCUUUUCAGUCAUUCCAAUGAGCACGAAUGCUAUCAGCUGUCAUAAGAAAAAAAAUGUUCUACAUGUUGAUUAUGGUUUUGCAUCAAGAAAAUUACAAAUUAUUAUAAGCACAUAUGGUAGGUUUCCGUGGUUCAAAGGUAAUGUACUUGAUCUAAAGAAAGGCACGACUAUGAGAAACUGAAAUCAUUGUCAUGUUGUAGCUUCAGAAUUUGACUCAAGUUGAACCUUCCAGUACUACACGGACAAGAAGACCAUAACAAAAUCCAUAUCAUCGGACCAACUACUCCAGUUUUCAGUCGAAAUCUACGAAGCUGAAAACUUUCACUGCCCUGUUGCUGUCCCUUGUCCCAUUAUCUUACUUUUUUUUCCAGGAAAGCUAGCUAAACGAUUGACCGGUGUGAAGAUUUCCAUGAGAAGCAUUGUCACAUGGCCAUCUUGGUUAAGCCGCAUGAACACAUAGCUACAACAAUCGAUGGAAUCCCUGCAAGCAGGGCAGUUUCGCUGUGCAUAGCUAGCUAGGACCUCUCUCAGGAAAGUUUCAGUUGUUCUCACGCCUAAUGUAGUGAGUGCAGCAAGCAAACUGGGUAUCUAGUUUAGUUGGGGAGGAAGAAAACUGACCACGAUAGACACCUAGAGCAUCAGAGAUGGAGAGAGCAGAGAGAGAGGGGGGAUGAUACCUUGACGAGCUCCCCUGAUGGCGUGGGUAGUAGGGUCGCAGCAACGUCCCGGGAAGAGGCGCUGGUGUCGGGGCGGCGUCGAGGGCGGCGGGGCGACGGUGGUGUCGGGGCGGCGCUGGCGACGGUGGUGUGGAUGGGGCGGCGCUGGUGUCGGGGCGGCGUCGAGGGCGGCGNNNNNNNNNNNNNNNNNNNNNNNNNNNNNNNNNNNNNNNNNNNNNNNNNNNNNNNNNNNNNNNNNNNNNNNNNNNNNNNNNNNNNNNNNNNNNNNNNNNNNNNNNNNNNNNNNNNNNNNNNNNNNNNNNNNNNNNNNNNNNNNNNNNNNNNNNNNNNNNNNNNNNNNNNNNNNNNNNNNNNNNNNNNNNNNNNNNNNNNNNNNNNNNNNNNNNNNNNNNNNNNNNNNNNNNNNNNNNNNNNNNNNNNNNNNNNNNNNNNNNNNNNNNNNNNNNNNNNNNNNNNNNNNNNNNNNNNNNNNNNNNNNNNNNNNNNNNNNNNNNNNNNNNNNNNNNNNNNNNNNNNNNNNNNNNNNNNNNNNNNNNNNNNNNNNNNNNNNNNNNNNNNNNNNNNNNNNNNNNNNNNNNNNNNNNNNNNNNNNNNNNNNNNNNNNNNNNNNNNNNNNNNNNNNNNNNNNNNNNNNNNNNNNNNNNNNNNNNNNNNNNNNNNNNNNNNNNNNNNNNNNNNNNNNNNNNNNNNNNNNNNNNNNNNNNNNNNNNNNNNNNNNNNNNNNNNNNNNNNNNNNNNNNNNNNNNNNNNNNNNNNNNNNNNNNNNNNNNNNNNNNNNNNNNNNNNNNNNNNNNNNNNNNNNNNNNNNNNNNNNNNNNNNNNNNNNNNNNNNNNNNNAGGUGGGAUAGCGAUCGAGAUGGAGGGGGAUCGAGAUCGAGGUGGGAUAGCGAUCGAGAUGGAGUGGGACCGGAUCUGGCGAGGUGGGAUAGUGUCCAUGAAAUUAAAAAAUAUUCAUGAUAGUUCAAAAAGUGCCCAUGAAAUACAAUCGAGAAAUGAAGUCUACGAUUUAAAUACAAUCGAUCUUAGCUAGCUAUCUCUUCACAAUCUUCUUGCCCUUCUUUUUCGCAAAUGGAGUUCUUCUAUGGAACAGACGUCCUUUAGGUAGGGUGGUCCUGCUUCUUCUUGUGGUGUAUGCUGCUACUUCAUCAUCGUCGUCAUGUUCGAUCCUCGGGUCGCCGUACUUGUCGAAGUCUUGCUCAUUGGCUACUCCAUCCAUUCCGAUGAUCUUCCUUUUGCCUCUCCUCACGACAACACGACUGGGCUUUGGCGGGUCGGUAAUGAAGAAGCAUUGGUCCACUUGGGAAGCCAGUACCCAUGGCUCAUUUUUCGCGGUGACGUUUGCGCCCGCGGUCUUGGAUUUGGCUUCGGGUAUAACCAUGGUGGUGAAAUACCGCUCUUCUUUUAUGACGUUCUUGGCCCAUCUGACACGGAACAUCGGGACCUUCUCUCCAGCGUAGCUCAGCUCCCAGAUCUCCUCGAUCCUUCCGUAGUAUCUGUCCUUGUCGUUACCGGUGUAGGAUUCCAUCGUUACCCCGGAGUUCUGAUAACCAUCGCUCUUCAUGUCCUUGGCCUCGGUGUAGAAUGUGUAGUCGUUGAUAUCGUACGCCUCAUAGGUCAUCAGGUUGUGCUCGGCACCCUGUGACAAGGCGAAUAUGAGUUGUUCUUCCGCGGAAGAAUCCUCAUGUAAAGGGUACGACAGAAGCUUCUGCUUGAACCAACACGUGAAACAUGAGUUGUGCUCUUUGAGUAUAUCUCCGUCCGUCCUCUAUUGGCCUCGGUCAUUGUACGUCUUCUUAAUAAAGGUUUUGUGCUGUACCACCCAAGGAUCGACCACGUCUAUGUGUUGUAGCGCGACUAGGUUUGCUCUUUCAAAGUCGGCGAGUCGACCAUCGAAGUCGACAUGCAUUUCGCGGCGACCCUCACGGUAACCCCAUCCAGCGAGCCUGCUGAGGUGCCUGUUGACGGGCAGACCAACGGGGUUCUCGAUGCCUAGAUAAUUCGUGCAGUAGGAGAUGCACUCUUCGGUCAGAAAGCCCCUGGCUAUGCUUCCUUCUGGACGUGACAUGUUGCGAACGUAUCCUUUGAUGACACCAUUCAUCCUUUCGAACGUCAUCAUGCUGUGCAGGAACGUCGGCCCAAGUUGGAUGAUAUCCUCCACUAUAUGGACCAGCAGAUGCACCAUAACGUCGAAGAAUGCGGGCGGGAAGUACAUCUCAAGCUCGCAUAGUAUCACCACGAUCUCUUCCUGUAGCCUUCUGAGUUGCCUCACGCCAAUCGACUUCUGAGAGAUGACGUCGAAGAAGUUGCAUAGGCCAAAUAGCGUUUCACGGACGUGCGUGUCCAUGAUCC